Molecule: long non-coding RNA, 64146 nt
Filed under: Daucus carota (carrot)
Lineage: Eukaryota; Viridiplantae; Streptophyta; Magnoliopsida; Apiales; Apiaceae
Description: long non-coding RNA (DCAR_LNC005940)
Source: RNAcentral
AUGAAAUGAGAGAGAAUAUGAUUAUGGGGAGUGGAGUGUGGUAUAUAUAGACAGGAAGUGUGUAUGCAGAGGUAAGGUGUUUGGAAAGGGGAAUGCGGAUAUAUAGACACGAAGUGUGCGUGUGUGUGUCUCUGUGUGUGUAUAGGUGUACGUGCUUGGAGGAAAAGUUGGAAUUGUAAAGCGAAAUUGCCCAUGGAAUCGACGUGCUUCUGUCUCUGUGUGUUCGAGCUCUGAGAGUUUAGUGAGCAUUCAAUGCUUUGUUGUGCAGACAAUAUACAGAGUCAAUUGCAGUUUAGUGCCAUGAAAAAUAAUAAUUUUAUGGUUUGGUGACUGAUGUUCAAAACCUUGCAUCUUCAUUGUUCAAACCAAAAUUUUGUUUAAAAUCAAUAUUUAUUUCUACAAAUCUAUACAAUACUAUUAAAGCCGAAAUAUUAAAAGUUUGGCCGGUCGGUACGCGUGCUUUUAUACGGACUUUUAUAAUUAGCGGGUUUUGUUGAUAGAGGAAUUUGGUGAAUCAACAAACGUGAGGUUCAUUGCCGGAAUACGGUGUAGCGUGGUGGUGAUAUGACGGAAAACCGUCGUAGGAUGGUAGUGUUAGGUGUUUGAGGGUGGCUGAGAUCAAGGGAAUAUAUCUUCGCUCUCGUUCUCACAACUCUCGAUAUCUCCCUUGAUGUGCCUACGUACCCCUUUAUAUAGGGGAUCAAGCCGUACGUAGUUCUAUUGAACCAAGACUCCUAGUUUGAUCAAGACUAGGACUCUUGGGGAUAAGACCAACAUCAAGCCGGUGACUUAUCACUUAGAGUUCUACUCCAGUUAGAAUUAAGCCUCGAGACAACUACCGUAGACUCCUAGUCCAAGUACAUCACGGAUACGGCAUCAUCUCCACUACGAGAGAUGACACUAACCGCUACUCUUUCGUAGCAUGGAGGAGACGUCCGAUAGAGCCGUGACCAACUCCAUGAGGUGUAGUGACGCGUCCUCACCCCUUAGUGAAGGUUCUCACUAAAGGGCAAGACAAAUAAGGAGCCAAGUUACACGAUCGUCUCAGUCCCCCAAUGAGGGCUAACUCACUAGAAUACAGGACCCAGACAUAUGAUCGGCCUUCAUGAUACCCCUGAGGGCCUUCAACAAUCAUGAUCACCUCAAGCCCCCGCACGAGGACAACCCGGCAGAUAGCAGGAUUGAGGAUUAUAGAUCACGCCCGGACGUAACCCGGGAACUACCAGAUGAGCCUGAUAACUACCAGAUGAGCCCGGCACUAGUCUUCAUAUCCCUCGGAAGGGUUGGUCUUCGUAUCCCUCGGAAGGGUCGUCAUUGAGACUCACUCAUCCUCACACAUAACAAAUUUACCUGUGGGCGCGACCAUGGAGGGCGCGCCCUUCUCCUUCGUUAUCCUGUCUAAUCAUCUCUCUCCAGUAACAGAGACCAUACCUUCUUUCAGACAAAGGCCGCACCUUCCGGGCUGACCCUGUGAAGGGCGCGCCCUUCCUGACCUUCAUCACCUGUCUUCCGAGUUUCGAACAUGACACAACCAUUCAUGACACUCCUGUCCCCGCCACUCAGGGUCGCCCCCCACGGGAUCGCCCCGUGGAGGGCGCGCCCACCUUGAUAUUCUCAUGGCCAAAACUGGCCAUAACAGGUUUCAAACAAAAUUAGUGGGUUUCAAACAAAAUAUAAACAAAUCAAAACAUAAAACAAAUAUACGAUCAAAACAUAACAAAUAUAAAACCUAUUUGACUAUACCAAAAUUAAAGUCAAACCUUAAAAAAUACUAUCCUAUUAAAACCGAAACAUUAAAAAUUUGAUCGGUCGGUGCGCGGGCCUUUAUAUGGACUUUUAUAAUUAGCGGGUUUCAAACAAAAUUAGUGGGCUUCAAACAAAAUAUAAACAAAUCAAAAUAUAAAACAAAUAUAAGAUCACAACCUUAAAAAAAUAUAUACGCAUCUAUCUAUACUAUACUAUUAAAGUCGAAACAUUGAAAUUUUGGUCAAUCCGUACUUGGGCCAAAAUACGGGCCUAUCUAUAUACCAAUUAUUCUUUUAAACUAAAAUAUGUUUCUUUUUUUAUAUUUUCUAAAUAAAAAACUCCAUUAUUUAAAAUAACAUCGAAAAACGUAGUAAUUACUUUUUUAACUAAAACACAUUCUUUUUUUUAUAUAUUCUAACUAAAAAAUGGAAAUUCUACAAUUAACACGGGCUACAUAUAUCAUAAUUUUAUUCUCACAAUAAUAUUAGUUUACCAUACUAAGCCGAAACAAUAAAAGUUUGGUCGGUCGGUACUUGGGCCAAGUUAUGGGCCUACUUAUAUAAUCAAUUAUCUUUCUAACUAAAUCUAUUAUCUUUUUUUAUAUGUUCUAACUAAAAACACUCAAUUUUUUAAAAUAAUAUUGAACAACAUAGCAACUACUCUUUUUUACUAAAACACAUUAUCUUUUUCAGAAUCCUAACUAAAAAAUCGAUUUUCCAGUAAAUAAAAUACAUCUAUAUUAGACUAUUAAAGCCGAAACAUUGAAAAUUUGGUCAGUAGUUACUUGAGCCAUAUACGAGCCUAUCUAUAUACCAAUUAUUCUUUUUAUUUAAAAUAUGUUAACUUUCUUAUAUUUUCUAACUAAAAAAACUCCAUCAUUUAAAAUAACAUCGAGAAACAUAAUAAUUACCUUUUUAACUAAAACACAUUAUCUUUUUUAAUAUUUUCUAAUUAAAAAGGGAUCUUCUACAAUUAACACGAGCUUCAUAUGUUAAAAUAUAAUAAUAUUAUAUAUAUUUAUUAAUAAAUAACCUGUGAUAUUUUUCAACCAAAAUACAUUAAAAUUAUUUUUAAAUAUAUUAAUGUAAUCACUUUAAAAGUAAUAUUAUACAUCUAUAAUAUACUAUUAUACUGUUAAAUCCGAAACAUGAAAAGUUCAGUUAGUCAGUAGGUCACUCGAGUAUGGUGAGCCGGUUGGUGUUCGACCCACGAACCUCCUUAAUUUAUAACAUAUUAUAAUAUAUUUUUUUUAUCAUCUAUUAAACCAAAACAUUUAGAUUAGUGGUUUACGCGUCUUUUUUAACUUAUUAUGUUCCAUACUAUAUUAUCAAUAAUGAAAUAUUAAAAGAUUGAUUGGUUGAUUUAUAUCUGAUUUUAUAGAUCUUCUUAAAUUAUAACAUGAAAUAAAAACGUAUUUUAACAUUCUCAGUAAAAUAUAUAUGUUCGACCUAACUUUUAAUUAGCCAUUUGACGAAAUUAACUAUAAGAAUUUAACAUCUGUUAAAUAAAAAAUUUAUUUAAUCAUAUUAUUCUAUCCAAAUUUUAUUCUCACAAUAAUAUUAGUUUAAGUUAAAAUAUAUACGAUAAAAUAGCAAAUAUUAUAACUGCAUGUGCAUUGCACGGGUUAUAAGCUAGUAUAAUGUAAUUAUGUAAAUGUAAAACUUUAUUUUUUAGAAUAAAGUAAUCAAAUAGUGUUGUAAAUUAAUAAAAAACGAGUAAUGACUAUUUUAAGUAAUAUUUUCGUGCUACAUUAGUCAAAUCUCAAUUUUGAUCUUUUCACUUUUGCUCAAGUCAAUUCAAUCUUUCUUUUUAUUAAAAUUGCACUUAUCUUAUUUAUAUUGUCGGUAAAUAUUUUUAUAUGUGAAAAUUACAUACAACAUAAUCGGGUUAAAAUAUAUAAAUGGGAUCCGUUGAUGGAAUUUUUAAAAUAACGUUCUAAUAUGCUCUAAAAAAUUGAAUAAUAUUGGUUAACUUUUUUGACUGAAAGCUACAUACAUUUUAUAAUUAAAAAUAGAGAAAAGUGCACUAUGUGUACUCGCACUUUACACGUUCCAGCACUUUCAGUAUUGUACUUACAUGUCCUGCACCCGAACGACUGCACUUCAGAAUUUUCAGCAAUGAGUGUACUCCGGUCAAAUAAAAUGUGACGGUGUUAGAUUAGUCUGUAAUUAGUAGGGUAAAUUAAAUUUUCAAACCUUAAACCGACAAAACAUUACAUAUUCUCUAACAAAUAAUUAUCACAGCGGGCUGACAAUCAAUUGAGAAAAACAUCUAAUUCAAUGAAAUCGAUUGACUUGGGUAGAAUCUUAGCCGCCAUUUGAUAAUUGGAGAAAUCAAUUGGCAAGGACCACACCAAGUGGCAACAAACUCAGCAAGAACUGGAGGAUUAAACUUCAAUACAACAUCUGAAAACUGAGCCUCGUCAAUCUCUAUAACACCGCUGCAAGUAAUCAACAAUCUCCUGCUGCAACGAGAGACUUAAUUCGAAAAGCUUCUGGUACUGUGGCGGAAUAGAAGCUUCCUUCUGAAUUCCUCGACGGCGGCGUAGAAAACAAUAAAGUGGCGCCGGUGCCGGAAAAUUUAGCUGCACGGAUCGGGUAACUAGAGAGGAGAUUGGAAGUUGAGGCCAUUGUUGUAGUAGUCUCUAUUAUCGAGAAGAUAAACAGUGAAAUGCUUGAGUUAGUUUCUGGGGAAACUAGAUAUGAGAUUAUAGUUGUGUGGUGUGGUGUGGAGAGUUAUUAUCCUCCGUGGAGACAGCAAUAGCAUACACCAAAUACUCUGAUCCUGCUAAUUGAUCAACCCUGUUAAUUAAUAAUUAAUCUAACGCCGUUAAGUUUUAUUUGACGGAAGUACACUAACUGGUGAAAAUCCUGAAGUGCAGUCGUUCGGGUGUAGGAUAUGAAAGUACAAUAUUAAAAGUGCUGGAACGUGUAAAGUGCGAGUACACAUAGUGCACUUUUCUCUUAAAAAUAUUUCAAACACAGACUGUGCACUCGAAGUUUCCAACAUAUGCACAUCAUUGUCAUUGUUUAGCUUAAGUUUCAUAUCUAGCAAAUAGCAUGAUCGAGUUUAAAAAAAUAUUACAAUUCGCAUACUUCCGUAGAUAGGAUUAACGAUAUGUGGGUAUUUUUGUAAUUUCACUACUGCAACGACUAGUUUUAUUUUGGGCGUGUAUAUAUAAUCGAAUUAAGCGUGUGUAUAAACGGGUUAAACCCCCCAAAAUCGUAACCCUAAUUUCAGAAUUGAGUAACCUCGUUGUAUUUAAUGGAGGAAUGGUGUGUAUGUCGUAUGUUGGUUGUGGAACGCACGGUUUAGACGGAGAGUAAUGCAUGUCGGAGAUUUGUUAGCUGUCUAAACAGUAGAAGGAGUCGCAAGUAUUUCCGUUGGGUGGAUCCGCCGGUUUGCGAUCGUGGUCGUGCUUUUAUACUUGGGUUACUUAGAAGAAUACAGAGGAAUAAAAAGAAACUUGAAAAAUUAAUGUUGUUGUAAGACAAAGAGAAGCAAAUAAGAUGUUACUCCCUCCGUCCCAGCAGAUUCUUUACAGUUUCCUUUUUAAGCCGUCCCACUCAUUUCUUUACAUUACAAAACUUUCCUAAAAUAGGUAAUGGGUCCCACCACUUUCUCACUUUUUCUUACUUUUCACACUACUUUUACUCCCCUAUCUCCCUUUUAUAUAUUAAAAACCAAUGGGUCCCACCACUUCACCCACUUUUCUUUCUCUUUUCCACUACUUUAUACAUAUUUUUUAACAUCCGUGCCCAAACCCAAUGUAAAGAAUUGGGUGGGACGGAGGGAGUACAAAACUGGGAUCAAUCGAUGGGUUUAUAUUAAUUUUGUUGUUGUAAUUGUUCUUAUUGUUGUUGUUUGCUUUGACCAGUACGAAACUAAAGAUCCCAUAUAAUUGUGUUUGUCAUUGUAAUAAAAGUUAGAUUUUGUCUUUGAUCGAAUGUAAUGGUGCUUGUGUUUGAUCGGAUGGUUUGCGUAUUUUGUGUAAUUGUGUUUGACAAGAUUAAGGUUGGUGCAAAUCAAUUCAUUAAACUGAGACUGGCCUAUGAUUUGCAAUAUAUGUAUCUUCGAUGUUUAAUGACAACUGACCUUGUUGGGCUUAAUUAAUGGCUUAAUGACGUGGCGGUCGAGUUUGUUUUUUUAGUUAUUUUCCUAUUAACAGCUUUGCGCAUGCCAAAUUGUCAAUGUCCCAUAAUAUUCGUCCUCCGUGUACAAGUGAUUUUGUAUUUAUUUUAGCAUUUUUAAUUAUUUUCACUAAUAACUUUUCUUAUUUGGGAAAGUAGAUUUUUUUUACCAUCCAACUUAUUAUUUAUUUAGAAACCUACCACUGAACUAUAAUUGUUUUCUGUUUUGUCACUAAUGUUAAGUUCGGAUUUUUAUUUUGUUACUAACGUUAGGUUCGGAUUUUUUUUGUCACUAACGUUAGGUUCGGAUUUGAUUAUUAACACUAUAUUAUUCUUUUUAGCAUUAUUAAAAUGUAGUGAUAGUCUGCAAUAUAAUAGUUAUCUGAUAUGUGUCUAUAUCUUUAUAUACAGUACUCCAUAUGUGUCCUAGUAGUUUAUCUUGAAGGACGGGAGUAGUUAGAAAUAUUAUUUUUCAAAUUUUCCUUUUUGUGAAUUAAAAUAUAUAAUCAAAAUUUUAAUUCAUUAAAAAAAUUAAUCAAAAAUAAUAGUUUUUACUAUCCGGUCAACUCACCUAAACAUGUGUGUCAAAAGUCAAAAUAUCAAAUAAUAAAAUAACAGAGAGAGUAUAUUCUAUAAAAAGUGAGAACCCUAAAAUACGUGCCAAGUAGUGGUAAAGAACUUUAAAUAAAUGAGAUGGACAUAAAGGAGUGGUAAAAUCAGGAAGAAUUAUAAUUAGAAUUCUAAAAUUUCAUUAAAUUAUCAAUAUGAAAUCAAUGACUUCAAACAUAAUAUUGCACACUACCACUAUGUUUUUAUAAUGGUAUAAAAAUAACAUAUUGUUAAAUUCAAACGUUAAAUUUUAUUUAGAAAAAAUAAAAUAAAAUAAUUUUUGAAACUAAAUUUUUUAGCAGUCUCAAAAUGUGUGUCCAACUUUCGUCCUCCAAGGUAAACUACAUGCAUAUGUAAUAUUACAUAUAAAGAUAUAGACACAUAUCAGAUCACCAUAAUAUUGCAGACUAACAGUAUAAUUUAAUAAUGCUAAAAAGAAUAACAUAGUGUUAAUAAUCAAAUCCGAACCUAACUUUAGCGAUAAAAAAAUUUGAACCUAACAUUAAUGACAAAAUAGGAAAAAAUUACAGUUCAGUGGUAGGUUUCUAAAUAAAUAAUUAGUUGGGUGGCAAAAAAAUCUACUUUCCUUUCUUAUUUUAGUAUCUUGAUUUUGUUAGGGUUAAGGCUCUGAAUGCCCACAUCCGAACAGAAAAUAACCAAAAUACCCAUUGUCAGGAACUGUGGCCCUUUUUACAGACUGAUUGCGCAGAGUGUAGAUGCAUGUUCUGAAUUCACAUAAUCCCUCCGUCUCUAAAUACUUUUUGUGUUUGUACUUUUCACGUUCGUCAAUACACACUUUUGAUCGUUAAUAUCUUUCAUUUCGUAGUAGCAUUAAAUAUAAAAACUUCACCGUAUUAAAGUACUCGUGAAUACGAAUCUAACAAGAUCACUCAUGACUAUAUUUAGAUUUAUAGAUUAGAUGUAAAUAAGUAAGUUGUCUCAUGUUAUGAACAGUACCGACAUCACAAACAAGAAAAGAAAAAAAGAAACAGAGGGAGUAUAAUAAAUGCGUAUACAAUGCAUAUUUGUUUGCCAACUACGUUAGAUGCGCAUAUACUGCUUGCAUAUAUGUAGAGUCGCAUUUGUGGGAUGCGACGGUGUUAGAUAUACUUGCGAUUUUGACCUAAAACGAGUGGGUAAAAUUGAAACCAACCUCAUCAUAAAAUAUAAACCGGUGCAAUUUCAACAGGUUAAAAUGAUCGUGGUUUUUGAUAGAGCCGGAAACACCGGCUAUAUUAGAAAGUGAGGAAUAUAUAAAUAUAAAAUAUGUAAGUAUAUAUUUUAUGAAUAUGGUAUGAGUUAUAGAACGUGUCGACGGGAAACACCAUUAUAUAAGUAUAUCAUAAGGGGAAGAGGCGACUUUCUCUUUAAAGAGAGAGAAAGAGUAAUGCAAGACAAAAUGCACUGGGAUGCUUGCCUUUACGGUUUACCUUUCAUAUAUGACAAUAUAGCAUAAGUAGUUGUAUGUCUGUCAAGAAUACGCAUGUUGUUUAUGCAAGUUCAGUGGGUAUUAAGGCCAACUCUCCCAGAAAAGGUAAUUUGAGAAUUAUUUUUUAUGGAGGAGCUAUAUUGGGCAUUCUUUCUCAUUAAUAUGCAUAUUAAUACUCAUUAUUAUUUAUUUGAUCAUAAAUAUAUAUACUUUUAUAAAUAAAAAAAAUUAGUGUAAAUCACUUAUUAAAUGCUAAACCCCUACAUUAAUGUACAUGUAAUUUUGUAUGUAACGCAAUUCAUUUAUUUAAGCCUAUUAACUGUUGCAUAAUAAAUAGAUAUAUUUAUAUAUAACUCAUCAUUAUUAUAUUGUGAUUAUGGAUACAUACAAAUAUACAUACUCAAACAUACAUACACACACAUGCAUAAUAUAACACCCAUUCAUAAAUGGGAGGAGAUAAUACUUAAAAUCAUUAAUGUCUUAAUAAAAUUAAACCUCCUGAUAGUUCAAACUAAUCAAUUUAAAUAAACUAAAUAUCUAAAUAAAUAUUAAAAUAUUAAGUAAUGCUAAAAGCCCACAAGUCCUAACCAACAAAAGUAAAAGAUAGCUAUUCAUCACACAGUCCCAGAUCCCCCUAAAUACCUGUCAGAGAAAGAAUACGAAAUGAGCCAAAUGUUCAGUAUGGAUUGGAAGUAGUAUUUAAUAAAACAUGAAGUAGAAAUAAUAUUUUGAUCAUUUUAUAAUAAAGAGAAAGAUGUUGAAUCAACAAAGGGUUAGGAUAUUUCAUACCGAGAUCAUAACAGAUACAGAUACAUCCAUCAUAGGGUACCGUAAUGUAUGCAACAAAUCAGAUAAAUACACAUAUGUAUCGUCACCGCCAAAUCAAAUAAAAUCAAACUAUGGUGCAUCCACGUAUCCUGAACAAAUAUCAAAUGGUCAAAGCUCCUCUUAAAGCUAACAAAAGAAUACGCUAUGAUCAAUCACACUGUCACGAAAACGUCAUGCCACUGGUGCUGCAAUGACAUGGCUAUAGUACCCCUACAGCUGGUUAACUCGGUAUACCCUAUAUCACUAAGGGUCCAAAUAAAAUAAUUUUACAUAAUUUUAAAAAAAAUACUUCUCGCAGAUACUUCGAAUAUUGUAAACAAAUACAUAAAACGAAUAAUUUUCAGAAUCACCAUUACAGAUAUUCAAACUAGUAUAAAAACCCGUGCAAGGCACGGGCCGCUAAUCUAUAUUGUAUUUUAUAUCAUAUUUUUGUGUAAUUAUCUUAUUUAGAACAUGCAUAUUAUUUAUCUGUUUUUCUAUAAAAUAUUUGAGUUUGAUUCUUUUGUUUAAGCAAGUGAAAAUAUAAUAUUUACUAUUUAGCAAUAAUAAUAUUAAGAGCAAACUUCAGAUUUGUGGCUAAAGUUUGCACCGGUUUUCAAAAAGUUGGCCAGAGUUCCAAAUUCUCAAAAAGAUGGCCAAAUUUUGGCUUCGCUUUUUAAAAGUGUGGCUCCCGUUAAAUGUCACUAACGGAAGCCUAACGGGAGCCACAUUUUUGAAAAACGGGCCAAAGUUUAGCCACUUUUCUGAGAAUUUGGAACUUAUUUUUACCCUUAUGUCCAUUUCAAAUUUCAGAAAAGUGGCCAAACUUUGGCCCGCUUUUCAAAAAUGUGGCUCCCGUUAGGCUUCCGUUAGUGACAUUUAACGGAAGCCACAUUUCUAAAAAAUAAAGUCAAAAUUUGGCCACGUUUUCGAGAAUUUGAAACUCUGGUCAACUUUUUGAAAAUCGGUGUAAACUUUAGCCACAACUUUGAAGUUUACUCUAAUAUUAAUAUAUCACCAUACUUUAAAAAUUUAUUCCGGAUCAUAAACAUAUUUGGACAUAUUAGCUCAUGUUGUCAAAUCACGAUUAAGUUUUAAGAUAUUGCAAGAAUUCUUGUAAUGCAUAUAUAAUUUUCGAUAGUUUGAUUGUGAUUAGAGAACAAUGUAUCACUGCCACUAUCUCACGCUCCUAUUUUCAUGUAUGGAGGAUUCGAAUACUUUGAUAAUACUUAAGAUUAUUCGGACUCAACGUGUAAUUUUUAAUGUUUAAGACUGGAUCAACCGGAAAGUGUGUAGAAUUAACAAUGUUUAAGAUCGAAUCAACAUGAAAGUCAAAAAUCAAAACACAUGAAUAUUUUUUGUGUUACUUGAUUAAAAUUUACAUGAAUUAAUUGCUCGAUUAAUUACUUCUAAUUUUUUGUACCCACAAAUUUGUUAGUGAUACUUUUAUAAAUGAAAUUUUAAUGUAAAAUGAUAAGCGCAAUUAAUGUCAUUAUUUUAUGUGUAAUUAGAGCAUUCAAUAGCAUUUAAUAAUUUUAGUGAAUUAAAUGAAUUUUUGGAUGGUAUUCUUGUAAUUAUAUGAUGAGUAAGGGUAUAUCAGACAUUUCACAGCUAUUUUCUUGAUACUUUUUGCCCUUAGUUGCCUUAUUAUAUAUACUAGCCUUUAACCCGUGCGAAGCACGGGCGGUUAUAUAAUUCGUAAUUUAUUUUUUAUAACUUAAAUUUAACAUUAUUUUAUUAGUAUUUUAAUAUUAAAGAAUUGAACCUUAGUUAAAUUAUAUUAACUAACGGAUUAUAUUUUCUCACAAAAAUUUAACUUUUACAAUUUAUUAUCUAUUUUAAUUUUUUGUUAUUAACAUGCGAUAAUUUAUUAUUCAAUUAAUUUUAAAUCAUAUUUUUCAUAUUUCGUAUAUCUUCAUGUGUAUGAGAAAGAUAUUUGCCGUGUAGCAGAUUAGAGUUAAAAAAAAUUAUGUAAUUAUUCGUGUUUGUAUUGAAAUAGAACAUGUUAGAAUUCGAAAGAGUUAUAUCAAGGUUUUUGUUAAAAAAAUAUAUUCAAAAUGAUAUAUAUAAUUUUAUUUUAAUGUCAUUACAAUUUUUUUAAUGAAAUAACAAAGCAAGCCGAAGACUCGAAAGUUAUAUGCGUGUGGUGUUUUGGAUCGGUUUAAAACUUGUAUUUAUUAUGAGAUAGAUUUUUAGUAUUGUAAUUUUUUUAAAACUUGUACUUAUAAGAGAUAGAUUUUUAGUCUUAUAAUUGUUUAAGACUUGUACCUAUUAAGAUAGAUUUCUACCAAAAAACAUGAACAAAAUUUAUGACUACAAAUUAUACCCAUGUUGCAUGGGCGAGUAUAUAAUUCAUAAUUUAUUAUUUAUAAGUUAAAUUUCAAAAUUAUCAUAGUAUUUUUAGUAUAAUUGGAACAUCUAUUUAUAAGUAUUUUUUAGUAUUAAUAUAUGUUAUUAAUAGUAGUUUUAUUUUUUUCAACUAAUUAUAUUUAAGAGGAUAAUGAUAAAGUUUUUGUCUUGUAAUACAUGAUGAGUGUUUUUAGUAUUUGAAAUUGUUUAAUGAAAGAAGAGUAAUAGACCGUUAGUAUUAAUAUAUGCUAUUAAUAGUAGUUUUAUUUUUUUCAACUAAUUAUAUUUAAGAGUAUAAUGAUAAAGUUUUUGUCUUGUAAUACAUGAUGAGCGUUUUUAGUAUUUGAAAUUGUUUAAUGAAAGAAGAGUAAUAGACCUGCAUAGUUGUAGACUUAUAGAGUUCUAGUUGUAUAAGGAGAGUACUAAACCAAAAAGAACAUGACCAAACCAAAAAUUUGUACGACUACAAAUUAUACCAUGUUGGCUAAUUUUCAGAACAGAACUAAAACAGAUACUUUAACAAAAUUAAAAACAACACCGUAUUUAAUCAUAUUCUGUUAUUUUAAACCCUUUACUACGAUAAAGCUACAAAUGCUAACUUCAAAAGUCUAAAAAAAAUUUAAUAGCACAAAUUGAAGCUGGCGUAUGUAGUUCAUUUCUGUUUCAUUUCUUAUAUGAAUAUCAUCCUUUAAGUAUAUCAAACUUUCUUUUAAUUGAAAUGUCAAAUACUUCAGAAGAUGUCUUCUCGAACCAGGUAUUAGACACAACUUCAUAUUCAAAUCAUAUGCUCUUAUUAGUAUAUAUCAAGACUCCUUUCUUCUUUAUAUUAUAACAUAAGUUCGAACUUUGAAUGCCUUCAUAUCUUAACAUUUUUUGAAAUGUGAUAAUGAAAUUAUAAUGUUAUCGGUGCUCCGUUUUUGUUUCUUGUAAUCCUCCAACACCCGAAUAUUUCUCUCCUUUACGACAGUGAGUAGUGACGGCUUAUCAUUUCACAUCAUAAAGGUAACCUCCUUCCAGAAUGUAAGCUUCGCGGCACAGUACAAGUUGUACAGGAUUCCUUUUCAAGAUCUAUGCAAAUGAUUUCUGUAUUAUUCGAUCCAGCCGGAACUAUGGUGCAAAAAUAUAUCAUAUCGCGAUCAGUUGACAUGCCACAAGUAAAAUAGUUGUCCUUCAUUAAACGGAUAUUGUAAAAUUUUCAAAUAUUGAGAGUUCUUUAUGUUAUAUUGUUAUUUUCAAUUAUAUACUAGUGUCGAAAUUGGUCAAUUUUAUUAAAGAAAAUAAUUGGUCAAUUUUAUUACAAUAAAUUAAACAAAAUAGACAAUUUUGGACGAAUAAAGUAUUUUUCAAGUUUUUAGUCAAAUUAAACGAUCGUAAUACAGUAGAUUAGUAAAUACUUUUAUGAUUUGAAUUGGUAACUAUAAAAUAUUUUUGCACAAAUUUGAGAUGACAAUAUUCUUAGUAUUUCACAUUUUAUUAUUUAAUUAAUGGACAAAAUUUUAAACGAAACAACACACAACAACUAUACUAACUAAAAAUAUCAAUAAACAUAGUUUUUGGUGUCAUCUUAAUAUUGAACCGUUCUUCUUGAUCAUGGAUCGGGCUCACAAAAAUAUUGGAUUGUAACUCAACCAUCUUAUUUCUACUUGAACAAACAUAUAAAGUACUGAAUGACUUUGCAGGCCUACCGCACGUUCGGAUUUUGUAUGUUCCCGUCAACAUUUGCCUGCCAAACAUGUACUUGACACAUAUAUAAGAUGAAUCAAUCAUAAAAAUGCUAAUAAAUUUUAAUUUGAGACUCAGCCGGAUCCCAUAUUUAUGUGUUAAGUUAUCUCAAUCUUAUCGUGCAAUCAGGUUGAGAAUUUCAGAGAACGCUUCCGAAUCCAGACACCACUUCUAGUACUAGUAACCACAGUUGUUGAGGUUAUGGCAGAUCUUUGCGAUGUAGUCCUUGGCUUCACUUAGGAGAUGGACAGUUUGAUCACGCAUACUGGAUGGGCUCUACCUUCUGCUCCAACUUUUCAUAAGAUUCUUGAAGCUGCAAUGCAAAUUCAAGGCUCCAAACAACAUCACUCAUGCUAGGCCUAUCAAUCCGACAAUCCCUUGGUCUCUUAGAAAACUAUAUGCUAUCUCACCAAACUUGUUCAAACUCUCUACUGCAAUCUCAUCCAUUAAACUUGAAGUUGCCUUUCGUAUAACAAAUUCGAGCCCAUUCAGCUAAAUUCGCUUGCUCCACCGGUAACUCUGCCAUAAUCACUGGCCUAGCACACAACACUUCAAACAACACUACUCGAAAUGAGUAAACGUCUGAUUUGCAAGUUAUUUGCUUCCGUCGGUAAUAUUCGGGAUCCAAGUAUCCGAAACUACCCUUAACUAUUAUGUGCAACUGUUGGGUCACUGUAUCCCAUUUUGGACAAACCAAAAUCUGAAACCUUGGCAACCAUUUCCUCGUCCAACAAAAUAUUAGUUGACUUCACGUCACGAUGGAUUAUCACACGUUCUGUACCUGUAUGGAGAUGAUGCAAUCCUCUUGCCGCACCAAUGCAAAUUGUAGCCUUUGCUUCCACGACAACGGGGGAUUUUCCCCUGUAAAGAUGACUACUGAGAGUUCCGUGAGCCAUAUAAUCGUGCACCAGAAUCAUUUCUCCACCAUCAUUACAGUAUCCGAUCAGGGGUAAAAGAUGAAGGUGUCGCAAAAUUGAUAGCAUUUUAAUCUCUGUUUGAAACUCGUGAGAUCCUUGUCGUGAUGAUGGAUUCAACCUCUUGAUUGCUACAGGGCAUGUACCGUUCUCCAAAUACCCUUUGUACACGUUACCGAAUCCUCCUCUCCCAAUAACAAAAUUGUCAUCAAAGUUGCUAGUAGCUAAUUUUAUUUCUUCUGAAGAAAAUUUCUUGCUCCUAACAGACGGCAACGAUGAUAUGUUUGUGGGAGUUAAUUUGUUGUCACAGUCCAGAGUUUUUUGUCUUUUUCGGAUAUAUAAUAAAAAACCGACAAUCAACAAGAACAAGAUUAUACCGCCAAAUGAACCUCCCAUACAAGAGACCAUGAGUGGAGAGUGAGAGGCGCCACUCAUCUGGAUGCCUCCAGAUUUUUUUGUUUCUGAAGGAGGCGGUGCCACAAGUUCAAGAUUUGGUGCAGCAAGGCUACCACCGCUAAGCUUGAAAAUCUCCAACCCAUUCAAAAUUGUAUUAUGAUAUAGAGGUCCCAGCUUCUUGUAGGGUUGCAAGGUGAGCAACAAAUCUGGCUUAUACUUGCUACCAUAUUGGUUGGCACCAACAAAAACUUAUUUAGCUGGUUUCUUGAGAAUCUCGACCUAGCAAUUUAAUUGCAUUUUGGAUAUCAUUUUGGGAACGGAACACUUUAGAGAUGAAGGAUUGUACUUACAUUAUCUGUCCAUCCACUCUGUGGGAAAGUUAUUUAACUUAUUUAACAAGGUUCUUAGAGCAAUGAAGCCUGCUUCUUCUUUUUUUUUCUUUUUUGUAUUAGGACAGUGAUAAACAUUUGACUGUUUGAACAAUGGUAGAACCAGGCUUUGAACUUCAGAAUUUUCGCUUGCAGACAGGUCAAUGCUUAAUCGAAAAGGGAUACAACUAUGUCAUAGAUUUAGAUAGAACUAUUAUAGCACUGGGAUAUGAAUGUUAGACAAUGAACUUCCAGAACAGACUAAAGCUCAACAGAAACAACGUGCAUUAUCAACAUGAGAUUCAUGUUGGAAAAAAUCGCAUAUAUAAUUGUUUCUAGAAUUUGCUUAAGAUUGGUAAAGGAGAUUCACCUUAAGAGCAGACCUCCGUACUAAUUCAACCUCAUCCAAACAUCUACCUAAGAUGCUUUCCCAAUACAGCUGGACAAUCCCCCCACAUAUGUUAGUAUCACCUGCACCGGCAGCAACGGGCACACUUUGACCACCCUCUACAGAAUAAGCAACCUCAUUGUUGUCGGAAUUAUCUGUCCCCAUUCGACUUUCCGCAUCAAGAAGAUAUUCAUACAGAUUCUGCAAGGAUUGCAUCUGGAGAAGUAGAUUCUGAAUGUCAUGCCUUCCCUAACCCUUAUAACAUUAAUAAUGUGUGUGCGGUGUUUCUUUUCGUAAAGCCUGUACAGAUGCUAGGAAAAUAAACUUACCUUAAUUAAGACGAUGAACUGUACUGGAAGACAAUGUUGCCUCCAAAAUUUUUCCUAUAUCCUUCUCCAACAUGAAUUCAGGCCUGGAAACUAAAACAUAACCUAAUGCCUGAAAAGGUCAAAAAGCACAUGAUCAAAGGUAAUAACUACAUCAGGACUUCAAUGAGGGGAGAAUAGAGGCUCACUUGCAACGAUCUGAUCUUAAAAACAAAGUCUUCAGCGGUAAGAUACUUGUUGAAUAAGGUGACACUAUUUUUAACAUCUAAGUUUCUCUUGCUACUUCGCAAAGAGUUACCAUAACGAAUUAACAACCCCAGACAGAAAAGUGAGCGGCCCGCUUGCUGAAAUAAGGAGGGUAAAAGGAAAAACAGAUAUAUGUUAGAACAUGUAUAAAUGUCCAGGUCAAAAGCUGGAAAAAGGGAAGUACUUAUUAUAAGAAGGGUAAAAAGGAAAUCACAGCAAGAAGACACAGAUACAAUUCAAGGCCAAAACUUAUUCUAACAAUAAUAUGUGUUUAGUUGUAUCUCGGAUAAGCACCUAAGUAUCUGCAUAUCAUUUCUCGGUAAUACGUCUUGAUAACAUACGAAUCACAUAAUACUAAUUCACCUUUGUUGCACAUCUAAAAGAAAUGAGGGGGGUCAAUGCUCUUGAGAAAAUAAGUAAAAAAAUUAGUAAUAUAUUCGAAAUUUAUUAAGAAAGCACCAACCUGUUUAUUGUCGAAUCCUAGUGCAUCCAAUCGCUUGAAAAAAACAUGAAUAAGAUAUCCGACAACUCUUGCACCUUUUCCUGCUACUCUACUCACCGUGCAGAGGCACCUUACGAAUAGGGAAAGAGNCAAGAUGAUUUACGAUAAGUGAUGCAAAGAGAAAACUCUUUAACAGAUCAUGUUUUUCACAUCUUGCUAAUAACUUAUCUAGCUGCAAGAAACCGAAAAAUCCCUCCAAAUACGCAAGUGAUAGAGUGUAGAAAAUCUAAGGAAGGUAAUUACUUGAUGCAAGCAUGGACAAUAGUUAAGAAAGAACGUCGGACAAUCAUCUGUUUCAAAUCUUGCUCGAGCUCUUCAACAACAGCUUGAGGAAUCCUUGGAGCCAAGGGCAAAACAGAAUCAAUGGCAAACACUAUGCUUUCCAGCAGCUGCGCAACUCCUCGGCUAUCAGCCUGAACACAAGCAAACUGAGUUAAGUAUAAACAUAAAUUUAAUUGAAGUAUACAAUAGACAACUAUCUCCAUACUAAGAAUUGCAACGAUUUCUCUCACCAAAAUAAACAUCAAACCUGUACAAAUCAAAUAACAAUAUAAAGAAGCGACACUUCAACACAUGCAGUGAUACAGCACUUUUCUAACGAAUUCUUGGCAUAAAAAAAAAAAAGCAAUCAGCAAUAAGGCACAGCGAGCCUCCUCUUCCCCGAUAUAUUAAUUUGGCGAGCAUAGACACAAAAGGUGAAGUUAUAGGUUACUAUAAGGUAUAUAACAAUAUUAUUUCACAGCUUACUUUUAUAGUGCACUAAUAUUGUUCACUCCAGAAAGAAGGCAUAUGAUAUGAAGUUUAAUAUCCAGCCCACAAAAGUUCUGUCUAAAUAUUCAAAAUUUUGAAAAACUCAGAUAUCCAAUAUUUAUGUAUUCAAAAAACUUCCAAAUGUAUUCAAUUCAUUUAUUUAUAGCCGUAGCCCAUAAGUAACAUUUCUUACCUACCAACUACAACAAAUCCAUUUAAACUUGAGAAAAUAAAAUUUCGAUAUAACCUGACUCUUCAAGUACGGCUCUAGAGUGACAACGAACUGUGAAGGAUCUGAAGACGGUGCACAUAGUGCAGGAUCCACAGUACAAAAGGCAUGCAACAGAAGAACAUAAGGAAGCAGUUAAUGACGGUGAAAAAGUCAAGGGCCAAGUUACACUUAACGACGGUGACAAGCAGUUGAUUGUCUUUCAUCCUCCGCUGCAUCUCGACAAUCUGCUCGGUUUUCUUAGCUACUUCUAUUGGUACACAACUACCAUCUCCAAAAGACCGAGUCUGUGAGCUUGAAGAAUCGUCAAACCAAAAUUCAUAAAACGUCUUACAUACAAGAUCCUGUGGACCAAAAAAUUCAGACAAGAUCUUUAAAAAAAUAACACUGAACAGAAGGGAAAAUAUAAGUAGUUCUCAUUAGUUCAAGGCCAGAAUGCCUUUAUGACCCUACGUCAGGCAUCUUGUACUCCUGGCACAAUGAUAUUCAGUUUUGAACUCAUAAACCUCAAUGAAAUGUAAAAUAUUCCAAUUGACCUCUUUAAAGCCAUAAUAUACGAAACUCCAGCACCCUAACACCUUGUGACUUUUAUGUGAUCUAUGUGAUCUUAUCACAGACCAUACAUAUGGUAGUAAAAGUAGAUACUUCUGGCUAUAUGGUUUGAUUUUGACUGUAAAUCACAUAUAAAUUUGCAAUUCUGACCAAAUUGGCCAAAAAAGAGUUGAUUCCAUAUAAAAAGUACUAGUUGAUAGCCCGUGCCAAGCACGAGUUUAAAUAAAAUUUUAAAAUUUAUUAUUUUAUUAGAAGAAUUAUGUCUUUUUUAAUUACAUUAUCAUAUUUUAUUAUAUCUAUUUAAAUUAUUGUUUUUAAAUGAUAUUUAAAUUAUUGUUAUUUAAUAUAAGAUUUUUUAUAUAUUAAAAUUUGAUUAUACUGUAAAUUUAUUUCAUAACAAUAUGGGUCACUGUUCAAUGAGUCCACAAAAUAAGAGUAUUGGAGUCCAAAAUUAUUUAAAAAUAAUCUACUCGUUUCAAUUUUAAGUUUGGUGGUACUUUGGUAUCAAUAUCGAAGCUUAUUUAUUUUAGUUCUGUAAUAUUAUUGAAAUUUUAUAGAUUUGUUUCGUAAAUUAAAUUGUAUGAGUUUUAAAAAUUAAAACAAAUAUUUGACGUAUGUCCAGAGUUUCGGUUCUUUUUUAUUAUAUGUGGCAUAUGGACAAUGAUUUAUUUUUUUUAAAUUUCCAUUUGUCAAGUCAGUGUUACCACCGCCUUAUUCGUCUUUAUCGCAAUCUUCUAAAAAACACUGAAUGAUACUUGUUUAUUUUAAUUCUGAUAUAUGAUAGAUUUUUUAUAGAUUUGUUUCGUAAAUUAAAAUGUAUGAGUUUUAAAAAUUAAAACGAAUAUUUGACGUAUGUCCAGAGUUUCGAUUCUUUUAUUAUAUGUUGCAAUAUGGAUAAUGACUUCAUUUUUUAAGUUUCCAUUUGUCAAGUCAGUGUUACCACCGCCUUAUUCAUCUUUAUCGCAAUCUUCUGAAAAACAUUGAAUGAUAAUAAUUAUUUUUAUUAAAAAAUCUAUGACCAAAUUUUUUGGUACUUUGGUAUCAAUUUUGAAUCUUGUUUAUUUUAAUUCUGAAAUACGAUAGAAGUUUUAUAAAUUUAUUUCGUAAAUUAAAUUGUAUGAGUUUUAAAAAUUAAAACGAAUAAUUUCGUUGACAUUAUUAUUCUAUUAAUAGGAUAUUAUAUUAAUAUCAAUAUGAACACUUUAUUUAUUUGAACUCUGAAGCAUGAUAAAAGAUUUAUAGAGUUGUUAUGUAUAUUAAAUUAUUUGAGUUUUAAAAAAUUAAAAUAAAUAAUUUUGUUGGUAACAUAUAUUUAUUAGUAAGAUAAUUGUUAUAAUACAAAAUCCCGUCAAAUAUAGAAAUUUUUUGAUAAUAGUAAUAAUUGUUAAAUAAAAAUUAAUAUGAUGAUAGCCAAUUUUUGAUAUGAAUUUUAUAGAACUGUUUCAUAAGUUAAAUUGUUAGCGAUUUAACUGUGCGAAUAUGAUAAUGUUAUAUUACAAAAUCCUAAACACCAUAGAAGUCUUUUGAUAAUAAUAUAAUCAUCUUAACCAAUAUUGAAAUUUUUAUUAAUAAAAUCUGAAUCAAUAUAGAAGUCUUUUCAUAAUUGUAUAAUAAUAAUUAUAAAAUCCUAAAAAUGUAUAAUAAUAAGUAUAAAAUCCUAACAAUAUAAAAAUCUUUUCAUAAUUCUAUAAUGAUUGUUGUUAUUAAAUAAAAAAUUUAUAUUACAUUGUCCUAGUCAAUAUUGAAGUUUUUAAUAAUAAAAUUCUAAUCAAUACAAAAGUCUUUCACUGUACUAAUGAAUAUUGAGGUCUUUAAUAAUAAAAUUCUAUUCAAUAUAAAAGUCUUUUAAUAAUAAUAUAACAAUGACUAUAAAAUCCUAAUCAAUAUGAAAGUGACCAAAUUUUGGUACUUUUAGUACCGAUGUUCCACCGAAAAGUGGUUUGGCUUAUUAAUAAAGGGUAUUGAUGGUCUUAUGAUGAGUCCUACACAUGAUAUCAUGAUGAUAUGAGUACAAUGUGCUGAAGUUAGGGUUAAAAAGACCCGUAUCCGCUGCAUGGAAAUGUUUCUAGUAUUACCCAUCACUAAAACAGAUAAGCCUGACAUGAGAAAACUCCUUUAAAGGAGCAGAAGUUGCGAGAGUAGAGUAUGGACAACAUGAUACAUAAUAAAAUAAUUUGGUGCAGAACUAACUGAAUACUGGAUUCUUCAUCACAAAUACGGGAUAUAAUUAUAAUGCAAGCAUUAGUAAAUUCUGAGAAAUUUGGAUCUGCAGUGCACAUAUCCCUUGUAAAUUUGAUGGCUCGUUUCAGCACGCUCACUCCAGUAUCUUUUAUUCUCUCAGCAACCUUCUCGAAAUACUAAAAAACACAAGCAGAGAGUGAAGACAAAAUUAUUAUAUAGCGGAACCCAGUAUAUGAGGAUGUACAAUCCAAAUCAAUACCUUUACACCAAAAUCAGGAUGUGAGGUAAUAUAGCGACCAACAAGUUCAAGAGAUACUUCUCUAACAGAUAUAGAUGAAUCACAGAACCUGUCUUCAACUGCCGACUGGACAUGCUUAUCAGUUAUCACGCAAAACUUCUGGAUAUCAGCUUCAACAAUAACACUAACCUGCUCUCAUGAAACAAGGGAAACAUGAUGCCAAGUACAUCAAAUUUCUUGCAAAAAAUAGUAAUUAAUACUAUAACAACUGGUCUUGUAAUGCUUGAAGGGACUAGAAAGUUGGGCACACUCUACUUACUGCUCUUAAUGCCUUGGCACGAAUCACAGGAGAGUUCUCCCUUAAACUUGCCUGAAAUCAAGUAAGCAGUACAUAUUAGCAGGAACAUUAUGUAUUGGUAAUCAAGAUGCAACAGAAAAUAAACUGACCAGAAGCAUUUGAAGGAUUUUAUCAUACCCUCUGGAGAAAGAAUUGUUUUGGCCCAUGGCUAAAGUCAUCUGUGUUACUGAAUUUCUUUUCAAUACAGAAGAAACAGUCUUGCAGUCUCGCACAAGUGCUCUUGAUUUCAGUCGAGCAAGAAAGAAGAGUAACUUUUGUUGGCAAGUCAGGUCGUCUUUGUACCACGAGCAAAGAAAAAACCUGCACAUUAAUAAUCAGCAUGUUCAGCAAAAAUAGCCAACCGGGCUCAAAAUCCUGGAGGUGUUUUGUUUUACUAAAACACUAAUUUAUUAAUGUGCAAAAAAACAGGUCUUGGCAUGAGAAUAUCCUGGCAAAAUAGUAAGGUCCACUAAAAAUGCACACCAGCGGGUAAUGAGAUGCAUAUCAGAUGCAUAUCAACUGAAGCACCAGCAUCCUGGAGAUAAUUCAAAAGCAUCUGCUGAACAAUCUCCAUCUUUGCUAGGGGAUUCGAAAGCUUUAGUACUUCUCUUUUGCCAUCAUUCUUGCACUCUGAUUUACAGUACGAUUGUAAUGCAAGAAGUUGGUCCCUGCAAGCACAAAACUGACAGCAGCUGCCGACAGAUAUUUCAUCUUCUCUUAAUCCCAUGCACUCUGCAUGAAAUAAUCUCCGACAGCCUUGGCGUACAACUAAAGACUUCCCAGUCUUUGCACCCAAGCAAACAGAACAUGCAUCUUUCGGAUAGCUCUGACUCGUAUCAUCAUUCAUAAACUCUUUCACAGUCCAAAAAUUUUCCCUCCUACAUAGAACAGCAUCCUGUUUCAACCCGGCAGCAACUGUACCAAGGAGUUCAAUUGUCAUCGAACGAGCAGCAAUAUCCUUGGAUUUUAAACCAGCAUUCUGAAGUAGCAAAGCACCUGCAAGCAACUACAUCUUAGUAAACUAAAAAUAAUAUGCAUUUACAGGCAAGUCAACCAGGUGGCUGAUACCUCCAGAAUAAGAGCCGAAGCUGGAUACUCAGGCAAAUUCAGUGUCAUCAACAAAUCAGCUACAAGAUUAUCAAUCAUGUUUCUCAGCUCUGCAGCAUCAUGAUUUUUUGUACUAGUAAAUCUCUGAAGAACUCGAGUCCAGAAAAGACAACAUGCAUCUGUGACAGCCUCAUGUCACUUGCUAGGGUAAGAGGCAUCAAUUGAAGGCUCAAGAAGGAAUGAAGUGCUAUCAGACUCCCGUAAAGCAUCAGGAAGGUUGGCACUACAAUGAACCAACUGAAUCAAUAGAGCAGUUACCAUUUGAUUGGAUAAAUCCAAAUUAAAUUUGAUUUGAAUUCAGAUAUCUAAAAACCCAAUUGAAUGUAAAAUUCAGAUAUCUAAAAACCCAAUUGAAUUUGGAUUUGAUUAGGAGUCCUAUAAAUCCACCACAAUUCCCCUCGUGUUGCCUACACAUUCUCUUCCUCCCCUUUUUUUUCAUAGCUAAAGAUGGCGACUUGUCUACCCGAAGAGAUCACUUUUUACGAGAUUUUACUCCGACGAUCAACACUUUCUAUCAAGUGUUGGAUUCGUUUAACUUUAGUGUGCAAGCGUUGGCUUUCACUCAUUACAAAACCUGAAACAAUCAAUUCCCACCUCGUUCACUCUUUAUAUUUUAAUAAUACUUGUGAAUCCCCUUCUGUUGUUGCUCAUUAUUCCGGACGUCACACUUUCCCCGAAAUCAUCGUCUUGCCCAACAACAACUCAGUCUUCGAGUCAUUUAAGCUUAUGUAUUCGAGUUUUCGAGUAAUGUGUGUGUGGUGGAGGAAGGUGGUGGUGGAGAUUUUUGUAGGUGGAGGAGGAUAGUUAGUUGGAGUGGGGGUUGGUUAUUUAUGAGAGAAAGACAGACUCUUGAUAUGGUGGUUAAGUUUUGAAUUAUUUACCUCCAAUUUUUGUUUUGUUUACGAAAUAAUCGAAGAUAAUUAGCAAUUUAAGACAAUUAUGAUGUGAUCUAAGACAAUUAUGAUGUGAUUCAUGUGUUAUAGGAGAAAAGUGUGUGUUGAUAUACAAUACAGCAACAUGGUUUUGCCAGAGUUUUGAAUGGACUUUUGAAAGUAUUGUAAUUGCUUCUAAUACACUUUUAAUUUAUACUAAACUAGGUUUAAUUGUCGAGUAGGAUAAUGAUGUAGAUUAAGAGCUUUAACAAUGAUGUGAAUACAAUGGUGAUUUCUUUAUUCAUACGGCUUUUAUCUUUGCAUAAUCAACUUGAAUUCCUUGUUAGCUGAGCUGGUUUCAUACAACCUUGUCCUUGUGUUAUAAUGAAGGUUUUAUCAUAUAUUACACGUUAAUUAAUCAUGAUGAUUAGUACAAAUAAGUACCAAUUAUGAAAACAAGCUUACAAGCGAAAUAUACCAAAAGGAGAAAGGACAGUAAUAUUUUCUUCCUGUUUUUCUAUUAUCAUAUCUUCAUCCAAUAUGCACUCUGUACCAUGACAUAAUAAUUCUGAUAAACCUGGCAAUUUUUCAAGCUUUUGUACCAAUUAAAUCUGGUAAUGCCUUCAAACAGAUAUAGCCUAUAAUGCUCUCUUCAAAAACCUUGUACAAUACGGUCUAAACUCUGUAAGAUACUGCUCUAUAAUACUUUCAAAUGAUAAAUCAGAGACGGCCAACCUAAAAUAAUGCUCUACAAUACUUUCAAAUGAGAAUUGGACACUAGACCUCAGCAAUCCUUCAAUUCAGCAAGAAAUACUGUAAAGAUGAAAAAAAUGUCAUGUUCUGUUACGUAUUAAAAAAAAGAAAGGAGUAACUACUAUCUUGAGAUGGAAGAGGAUACUCUGUAAGCUUGAAACAUUAAUUUCUGCCAUUGAAAUCGCAAAGACAUAUCAAAUAAGAUCCACGACAAUUGCAAAGCCGUGUCAAAUAAGAUAGAUACUAAUUCAAGUUGCACGACAGCAGGGGCACAUAAAGAUUCAAUUUUACAUUGUUUAGAACUAGUGCAUAGCAACUCAGUUACAUCAAAAGAUCUAAUAAUCAUUCAACAUGGAAGCAAAAAGUUACAUGCAUGCAAUCUCUUAAGCAAUGGAAAUUUCAGCCAUUUCCUGUUCUACAACAGCUGGUCCGACAGGAUAGUACUUGUAGUGCAAUUCUCCAACAUCAUCACCAGACAAUUUCUUCCAUCCAUCAGGACCAACAUAAUAAACUGAUAAAUAGCACCAAAAUUAGACAAAUACUUGUGUUCCAGUAAUAAAAACAAAAAGAUCAGAAACAAACUAAGACCGAGGGGGGAGGGUGAGAGCUUACCGCUAGCAGUACCACCACUGGCUCCAUCACGAAAUGUUGCAUGAUAAAUGGAUCGCCGAGCCAAUUCUGCAGCCUCUUCUAUUGACAUAUCAUAGCGGUACCUACAAAUAAACGACCAAGAAGAGUACAUAUAUUGUAAGAUAACAGAAAAUUGCUCUGUUUAGAACGAAACUUGCAGUUCAGGGAAUGAUCACCCAAGAAAAAGUGAAUACAGUGAAGUAAUUAUGUCAGUUCAACUAGAGACUAGCAAAAUUGAGGAUAACUGGAAAAGCAUCCCCGUCAUCAUCCAUACAAAACAACAAGACUAACGACUACGGUAGCAUAUCAUAUUUGGUCAUGGAAAAAAACAUAACAGAACUACAGAAGUAAUCGUUUUUGCUUUUCAAUCCGUACAAGCAGUUACAAACCAUAAAUAAAAUUUCAAGUUGCAGUAGGAUGCAUACCCGCUGUCCAGUACACCAUAAGCAUAUGGUGAUCCAGAUCCAACAGAAAAUCUGUUUCCCUUUAGCCGUCCUCCUUCACUGUCCACGUAAUAAAGACCAGGGCCCUGUAAACCAACAAAUAAAAAGCAAUAAGUUACCCGCCACUCAUAAUUACCAAUCAGGGUUAAAACAAUUAAUAAUCAUUACCUUUUCAUCCCAAAUUAAUAAGCUACGUACAGUUCAAGAACAUUACCUUAAUACCCAAAUUUCUGUGCCAAAAUUGGCAAUCAGCAGCACCUCCAGCCAUAGUACCAAGCAUGUGGGGAUUAAUUUCAAUGAUUUUCUUCACUGAUUGUGAUGCUGUUACAAGAGAAAGGUAUAAUAUAAAUGCCACAUGAUCUGUGUUUUAAUAAUAUCAGACGUACAUUAACCCCUAUAGAAUAAAGUUUCCGAUGACACUCGUGAUCAAAGCUAUAUUGAUUUACACACCGACUAAAAAUUGUAUAUGGACAAAAAUUACAAGCACUAUCCAAUCCAGUAGAAAAAUACAUACAGAUAUAGCCUCCCAUGCUAGCACGAGAAUCAGCAGCCACAAUAACACCUUCCUUAAAGAUAAAAGCAAGAGUAGUGAUAACGCCAAUCUCCGAUCCCGGUCCUUCCUCCGCCGUGACUGGUGGUUCCGUGGUGUAGCUGCUGGAUGGGAGCCUACAAAACAACGCCGGCGGGGGGGUUUUGCCCCAAAGCGCCUCCGGCGUGAGAGUAAGCGUGGGCUUCGGAAGGAUAAAGAUUAGAGAAAGUGCUAUCUAUGUGUGGUGGGUGAAGGUGUUUGGCUGGUGGUUGCUGGUGGCUGAGAGUGUUUGAGUAUAUGCUGAGUGUAAGUGUGUGUAUGAAUGAGUGUAAAGAGAGAGUGAAGUUAACCCCCAGACUCUUGAUCCUUGGUCUAUUUAUAGGCCAAGGAUUAGGGUUCGGGGGUGCGUACCUGGAUCCUGGUCCUACACGUGUAGGGGUUUGAUCCCCUACACGUGUCCAGGUGUCGGCGUAGAAGUAGUCUUUUGGAAUGUUCCCUGGCUUGUCUCUAUCGCCAGUAGUUGACCGUUAUAUUUGUCUUCAUCGUGUCAGUCUGUGCCUUGUGCAGCAAGUGUCGGCUGGUACAGGUUUGGACCCCGGUCAAGGAGUAUGAUCCGGAUAUACGCCUGGUGUACCCGGGUCCUGUACCUUAUCCGGACGGCGUACUCUGGUAGGGUUGGUGGAUUGUACCCUACUCCUGGUGGCUUCCCGGGGAUCGGGGUCUUUGAGUAGGCCCGGGUUUGUGAACCCGGGUUACCCCUAUCAUUUGCCCCCCACUCCCUUAUAUAGAUUCUCUAUGUGAGGGAGUAGAGUGAAGUUUCCGCUUUUGUUUGAGUGGAUGAUCCGGAUAUACGCCUGGUGUACCCGGGUCCUGUACCUUAUCCGGACGGCGUACUCUGGUAGGGUUGGUGGAUUGUACCCUACUCCUGGUGGCUUCCCGGGGAUCGGGGUCUUUGAGUAGGCCCGGGUUUGUGAACCCGGGUUACCCCUAUCAUUUGCCCCCCACUCCCUUAUAUAGAUUCUCUAUGUGAGGGAGUAGAGUGAAGUUUCCGCUUUUGUUUGAGUGGGCCCGGGUAGAUGUGAAGUUUUGAUGUUUGCCCCCCUGUCCGGGUAGAUCCGGGUAAGGGUGGAGGUUUGUCGGUGUCGCUUUGCUCGGGUAGACCCGGGGGUUUGUUUUGCUUUUCUGCCAGGGAGAGUCCGGGUCCUUAGGGAGAUCCGUCCGGGUUGUCCCGUGAGAAUGAAGCGUUUUCGGUACGCUGGAAUUUCGAGGGGUUUUGUAACCGCAUCCAACGCUUUGGAAUUUGAAUCGUCGCGGCUUUUGAGGAGGCGUUUAAUUAUUACAGCAGUAAUAAUUAAAACUGAAUGCCCAGUAAUACGUCGCCACGUGGCCUACGUUGUGGCUAUAAGUACGGCCAUUUCUUUUAGUUUCCAGUUUUCACUCUUGCUUUCGUCUUUUCUCCUUUACUUUCAAAGAAUCGUUCUCUCGCCUGUGUUCUUCGAGUUGCUGGAGAUUUCGAGUUUUCUUCGAGGGUUUUUGUCGCCGUUGCUCGCUUUCUUUUCGGUUUUCUUUCAGGUAAGUUUCCCCUCCUCUCUUUUCUCUGCACUUUCGUCUUUCCAUGUAUGAAGCUAUUCGUGUGAAGUUUAUUUUUUCGAAAUGUUUGCUUUUGGUUUGUUGAUCGUUGCGUAGAUGAUUUUGUAUGCCGUCUAUGAAUCGUAUGCGUAUUUGUGGAGUGUUUCGCGAUUUGGCAUGUGUUUGGUUCGAGUUUGCUUUGCGGUUGUGUUUUGGUUUCGGGGUUUUGUAUUUCGGAGGUUUGGAGAUCUGGGUUUUGGGUUUUGAAUAUUCUUGGCUGUGUGUAUGUAUGUAUAGUUGUAUAAUUUAGUGGGUUUUGGGUUUGAUCUUUGAUUUUGGUUUGGAAUGUGUUAGGAUCUGUUUGUGUCUGUUGGGUUUUUCGGGGGUUUGAACUGAACCCGGGUAUGGCAGUUGUGCCCGGGUUGGGUAAUUUUGGGACUUAGCCGUUUUGUAGGUUGUGUGCAGUGUUGCGGAGGGAAGGGUUCGCGACCCGGGUACAUAUGUUAGGUCCGGGUAGGGCCUUUGGGUGUUUUGUUUCGUACUUAGGAGAAUGUUUUGCGCUGUAGUAUGUACACGGGACCCGGGUGUCUUCCUAGUAUGUUGUAUCCUUUCCCCCCAUGUAAAUUUGAAGAAGGACAUGGCCCGGGUAGGUUCAUAGGAUUUCUGUGUGUUUUCCUGGUGUAUCCGUGUAGCUUUAGUAGUGUUGUGGUAGUCUUUAUUCUUUGUAUUGCUGUAGUAUAUGUCGGACCCGGGUAGCUCUUUUCAUGUUGUACUUUGUUUUUUGCUUCUCCUUUGGUAUGUUUUCCACAUAGAAUUAGGCUGGGAUCCGGACCUAAAUAAAACUUGCAACAACUUGUGUGAAUUUUCUUCCUUUAAAAUUGACCCGGAUUGCUUCUUUAUUUAGGUCUAUGGUCCGGAUCCCUUCGGUGGUUUUUGAAGAGUCUUCCAGUGAUAGUGAAUCGGACGGGUUUCACGCCCUUGCUCAUCGUGCCCGGGUCCGCCUCUCUAAAAGGCCAAGACAAGAGAUUGUUGCUUAUUCGGCCGUCCCCGGGGAGUUUUCUAGCGACACAGAGUGUGACGAGGUCCAGACUUUAUCUCAUCGUGUCCGGAUUAAGAUGGCAGAGAGAGAAAUUGAGGAGUCCGGGGUUAUUUCCGCGCGUCAGGAUGUAGUGAUCUCGACCGGUCGACAAGUAAUAAUGACCCCAGAGGGCAUGUGGGGAAACGGUAGGUCGUAUUUUGUCACCAAAGGUCCGCUGGUGGAGGAGAAAGGUUUCUAUACCAAUAUGUCUGGUUUUUAUAGAUGCAAGCAUCCGAACGGACGUUUGGCUCCCUACAACAAAGAGGAGUUCGAUGAGAAUUUCCGGGAGUUGACUGGGAUCCGGGUUCCGUUCCCGUUGAAGAAUCAUAUCAGGGAGAUGUCUCCGGAUGCGGCUGACCGGAUGAUCCGGGCGGCUUUUCAGCUGCCUUCUGAGAUCGAAUGGAGAUGGCCUGAACCCGGCGAAAUGAUCUAUCAUCGUCCGGCCGACGGUUUCGUUCCAGUGUGGAUGGAGCAUCUCAGGUCCGGGUGGAAUCCCCGGUGGCAUGUUUUCUUCAAACAUCUGUGUAAAUAUGAGUGGAGGAUCUCGCCGAUGCAGUUGACGCCGAAUGCGGUCAAGUGGAUGACCUGGUUCCUGUGGGCGUGCAACAAGAUGAAUUAUUACCCGACGCUGAAACUUUUCCACAUGUUGUUUCAAUUUAAGAAAUCUGGGGUAAGGCCUUUGUAUGAGUUGCGCUUCCGGUCGAAGGAGUGUGGUUUGGGCUCCGGGUUCAUAAGCCCGGUUAUCCAUCAAAGCUCGCUGAAGGGAUGGAAUGGCGAGGUAAUUAUGUUGAAGGGCUUGGAUUUGGCUUUUAUGCCUUAUAUCGAGACAGAUGACGAGAAAGUGAGGACGGACUUCGGUGCGCCCGGGGCGGCUGGGGAGUUCCGGGCCCAGUUGGUCGAGUUCUGUAAUUGCCUAGGAUUUCAAUUGACUCGGGAUACAUUUAUGCGUCACGAUCAAUUGCAUGAGGGUGGCUGUAAGUUGCAUUUUGUUUUUGGUUCCGCUUUCGUAGUAUCUUGUCCGGGUCUCCUUGUUUGUAGUGUGCAUGUUGCUAUCUUGUCCGGGUCCUUUUGUUUGCAAUCUGCAUGUUCCUUAGGAUAUUUUAUUGUGGCAUUUUUCUUUGUAUGAUUUGUCGUAUUGUUCCCUUAUUGACCCGGGUUCUCUUGACUCUUGGCAGGUCUUCCCUACUUCGACCCGGAUCUUUGGAGAGCUAUGUCUGCCAACGACUCUUUUGCUGCUGCCUUGAGGAACUUGGGGGGAGUGCAUACCCUUCCAAAGCCGCAGCCAAAAGUUAAGUCGGCAAAGAAGAAGGGGGUCGCGAAGAGAGGGGAGUCCGGGUCUUCCCGUCAGGAGUCCGGGUGCUGAUGCUGAUCCGGGCUCUUCCUCUGAUUCUGAACCGGUUGAUGAGACUCCUGUUGACGAGACCCGGGGUGAUGAGACUCCUGCUGCCUGAUCUCCUUCUCUUUCUAGUUUGUUCAUAUGUUGACUCAAGAACAAUGUUUUUGUAAGACUGAAUUCGUUGGAUCUGGAUUUGGAUGUUUGUCCGGGGUUUAUGUAGACCCGGAUUUAUGGAUGGUUGUCCUUGCUGUUUCUUAUCAAAUAUUUUGUUGUCAUAUUUGUUUGUGAAUGCUUUCGUUUGCUUUGUAUAUUGUUUUAUCCAGGUGGGGAUAAUACAGGUGUACUCGGGUAAUUCUUACCCGGGUUGAUUGCUUAGAAUAGGUUUAUACUUAGAAAAAUCUUAGAAAUUUUUCUAAGUAAAUAAAAUGGAUGGACCCGGGCAAUUCCUACCCGGGUUGAUUGCUUCAUAUGUGUUUGCACUUAGAAAAUUUUUCUAAGUAAAUAAAAUAGAUGGUCCCGGGCAAUUCUUAUCCGGGUUGAUUGCUUCAUAUGUGUUUGCACUUAGAAAAUUUUUCUAAGUAAAUAAAAUAGAUGGACCCGGGCAAUUCUUACCCGGGUUGUUUGCUUCAUAUGUUUUUGCACUUAGAAAAUUUUUCUAAGUAAAUAAAAUAGAUGGUCCCGGGCAAUUCUUACCCGGGUUGAUUGCUUCAUAUGUGUUUGCACUUAGAGAAUUUUUCUAAGUAAAUAAAAUGGAUGGACCCGGGCAAUUCUUACCCGGGUUGUUUGCUUCAUAUGUUUUUGCACUUAGAAAAUUUUUCUAAGUAAAUAAAAUGGAUGGACCCGGGCCAUUCUUACCCGGGUUGAUUGCUUCAAAUGUUUUUGCACUUAGAAAAUUUUUCUAAGUAAAUAAAAUGGAUGGACCCGGGCAAUUCUUGCCCGGGUUGUUUGCUUCAUAUGUUUUUGCACUUAGAAAAUUUUUCUAAGUAAAUAAAAUGGAUGGACCCGGGCAAUUCUUACCCGGGUUGAUUGCUUCAUAUGUUUUUGGUUGCCUUAGAAAUUUUCUAAGUAAGAUAACAGGUGAAAUUCAUUAGUAGCAAAAGACUUCAUUGAUUUCAUUGAUAUUCAGGAGAUUAUACAGCUUUGAUAGUGAUCAAAAGUACAUGAUUGCUUUUAGGUAUAUAUAGCUGUCUUCUAGGAUCCUUCCUUCUUGAUUUUACUGAUAGAACUUCCUCAACCUAAGACCAUGCCAGGUGUUGGAUACUUCUAACCCAUCCAUAUGCUCCAAUUUGUAGGUGCCCGGCCUUAGGACUUCUCUGACUUUGUAAGGGCCUUCCCACUUAGGCAUUAGCUUUCCUGUGUUAGUUGGAUCUGAGGCUUCGGUGUCUCGUAGGACCAGGUCCCCUGCUUGAAAAUUUCUAACCCGGGAUUUCUUGCUGAAGUGGUCCCGGGUCUUCUCUUUGUACUUUUCCAUUCUUGCGAUUGCCUGAUCUCGGACCUCAUCUACCAAGUCCAGGUUGACCCGGAGUCCUUCCUCGUUUGCAAUUUCGUCGAAGUUGAUUACUCUGUGGGAAGGUGACCCGACUUCGAUUGGGAGCAUUGCCUCCGUUCCAUAGGCCAACUUGAAAGGGGUUUCUCCGGUGCUUGUCCGGGGACUGGUUCGGUAUGACCAAAGGACAUGAGGUAGUUCUUCUGGCCAUUUGCUCUUGCUUUCUUCAAGUCUCUUCUCAAUUCCUCUCAGGAGGAUCCGGUUGGUGACCUCUACCUGGCCAUUUCCUUGAGGAUAGGCGACUGAAGACUUCUUGUGCUUGAUGCCUCUUUCGGCCAGGUAGCUUUCAAAGUCCGACCCGAUGAACUGGGGUCCAUUAUCUGAGACCAGGACUCUUGGUAGCCCGAAUCUCAUCAGGAUGUUGUCCAUGAACCGGAUGACAUCUUGUUGAUUGAUCGUCCGCAUUGCCUUGGCCUCAACCCACUUGGUCAUAUAAUCAAUGGAGACAAGCAAGUAUCUGAGGUCUCCUUUAGCCCGGGGGAAGGGUCCCAUGAUGUCUAUCCCCCAUACAGCAAAGGGGAUCGGGGAUAAGACCGAGGAGGGUAGGACGGGGCUUACCCGGGGCACGUUGCUGAAUAGCUGGCAAUUUUUGCACUUCUUAACAAACUCGACGGAGUCUUGAUGAAUUGUUGGCCAGUAGUAGCCUUGCCGGAUGAUUUUAUAGGCCAGGCUUUUUGCCGACAUGUGAUCUCCACAGAUCCCUUCGUGAACUUCCCUCAGACAGUAUUCGGCUUCCUCCGGACCUAUGCAUUUCAGGAUUGGGGAUGAGUAGGUCCGGCGGAAGAGGAUCCCGCCUUCUACGAAAAACUUUGCUGCCUUAGCUUUUAGUCUUUGAGCUUUUCCCUUGUCCUCGGGUAACUCUCCUUUUUCUAUGUAGUUGAUCAGGGGAGUCAUCCAGGUAGGGUCGUUGUUGAUUUCAAAGAUUUCUUCCUGCUCUAUUGUGGGUUUGUGCAACUCUUCGAAAUACACUGAGCUAUCCAGGUCUGCUGAAUUUUGGACCAACCUGGAGAGGUUGUCUGCCUCCGCGUUUUCUUCCCUGCUGACUUGCAAGAUUUUGUACCCGGGGAUCAGGGUAAGGUAGCUUUUCACCAAGGCUUGAUACCUGGUCAGAAUUGGGUCUUUGGCGAGGUAUUCCCCGUUUGUCUGCCUGACCACAAUUUGUGAGUCGCUGUAAAUGGUCAGGUUUUGGAUAGACAGGGUCCGGACUAAUUUCAACCCUGCUAGAAGAGCUUCGUAUUCCGCUUGGUUGUUGGUUGCUGCGAAACCGAAGGAGAUUGCUGUUUUGAUUGUGAACCCAUCCGGGCUUUUCAGGAUUAGCCCGGCUCCUGACCUUUCGGUUGUUGAGGAGCCGUCAACAUGGAGUGUCCAAGACCCCGGGUUUGACUCUACCGGGGCUUCUGGUUCAGUUUCCAUGGGAGUUGAUUGGUUUUCUGGGAAGUUGCAUUCCACCACGAAGUCUGCCAGGACCUGGGCUUUGACCGCUGUCCGGGGUAGGAAGGUUAGGCUGAACUGGCUAAGUUCAAUUGCCCAGUUGACUAGUCUCCCGGAGAUGUCUGGCUUGUGAAUGAUUUUCCUUAGGGGCUGGUCGGUGACAAUCCUGAUCUCUCUUCCUUGAAAGUAGUGUCUGAGUUUCCUGGAUGCGGUGAUCGGUGCGAAAGCAAACUUCUCUAAGUUGGGGUAUCUGGUCUCCGCAUCUUUGAGGACCUGGCUGACAUAGUAGACAGGCUUCUGCUGCCCAGCUUCUUCCCUGAUCAAAGCCGCCCCGACGGCAAAGGGUCCGGCUGACAGGUAUAGGUAGAGGGGUUCUCCGGGCAAGGCUUUUGUCAGGAUCGGGGGCUUGGACAGGUAUGCUUUUAUUUCAUCAAGAGCUCUCUGGCAAUCCGGGCUCCAUUCUACCAUCUUCUGAUUUUUUGCCCCUUUUAACAACUCAAAGAACGGUAGACAUCUUUCAGCGAGUUUGGAAACAAACCUUCGAAGUGCUGCUAAAGACCCUGCUAGCUUUUGGACUUCUCUCUGAGUCCGAGGUGGUUGCAUCUCUUGUACAGCUUUGAUCUUCUCCGGGUUAGCCUCGAUACCCCGGUUGCUUACCAUGAAACCCAAAAACUUUCCAGCCUCUACCCCAAAGGUGCACUUGUCCGGAUUGAGCUUUAGCUUAGUUCUUCUCAUGUUUUCAAAACAUUCUUUGAGAUCAGAAAUGUGACCCGGGACCGAAGUGGAUUUGGAGAUGAUGUCGUCGACGUAGCAUUCCAAAUUCUUUCCAAGUUGAUCCUUGAAAAUUUCAUUCAUUGCCUUCUGGUAUGUAGACCCGGCGUUCCUUAACCCGAAAGGCAUCAGUUUGUAGGCAUAUACUGCUCUGUGGGUUAUGAAAGCUGUUUUGGCUAUGUCUGCUGGGUUCAUCUUAACCUGAUUGUACCCGGAGAAGGCGUCCAUAAAGCUUAACAUCAGGUGUCCUGACGUGGCAUCAAUGAGCUGAUCGAUGCUCGGUAGAGGAUAAGGGUCCUUGGGGCAUGCUGCAUUCAGAUCCGUGUAGUCGACACACAUCCUCCACUUGCCGUUUGCUUUCUUUACCAUGACUACGUUAGCUAGCCACUCCGGGUAUUUGAUCUCGCAGAUGAUAUCUGCCUUCAUUAACUUGCCAACUUCCUCAUCUAUUGCCUUCUGCCUUUCUGGUGCGAAAUUUCUUCGUUUUUGUUUGACUGGUUUCUUCUCGGGGUCCACAUCCAGGCUGUGCAUUGCUAGUGACUCGUCCAACCCGGGCAUGUCGUCCGGGCUCCAGGCAAAAACAUCUGCGUAGCUCCGAAGUAGUUGGAUGAGUUCUUCUUUAAAGACGGUAUCCAAGCCUUUUCCAAUUUUGAUUUUCCUUGUCGGGUUGUCUUUUUCGAUCAGGACCGAUUCGGUCUCGACCGCAGCUUCGACCUUGGUUAGUUCUUGUGCCGAGAUCAUUUGCUGGAUCCGGGCGUCAGUGUUCUUUUCCACAAAAUGUUGAGCUGAGCUCAUGGUUGCUUUCUGGUUGCUUUGUCCAGGACCAGGAUUGGUGGCUCCCGGGUUGGUGUUACCCGGGUCAAGUUCGAUCACCUGGACUUCUCCUUUGGGAUUUGUUUUCGGGUAAGGUCGGUGUUUUUUGUUGCUCUUCUGUUUUUGAAAAACGGUUGCCUUUCUCUUGUUGUCCAGGUGUGUUUCUGCCAUGACCAAAGCUUGGCUAUAACAUACCCCGGCUGUCGCCGAGUCUCCUUUGACUUCUCCUACCCCGAACGGGGUGGGGAAUUUGAACUUCAGGUGUGGAAUGGAUGUGAUAGCUUCGAUCUUGUUCAGACCUGGGCGGCCGAUGAUCACGUUGUAAGGUGAGGGUGUAUCUGUGACAUAGAAUUUGAUGGUAUGAGUGACUUGGUUCGGAAGGGUUCCGAAUCGGACCGGGAGAUAGAGUGUGCCAAGGACCGGGACAAUGCUAUUCCCGAACCCAUAUAGAGGAUCCUCCCUGUAGUCGUUCAUCCGGAUACUCCCGAGCUCCAUUCGGUCCAUGGUGUGUUUGAACAAGAUGUUGGCCGAGGAGCCGUUGUCCACCAGGAUCCUCCUUACUUCAUUUUCGGCCAUGUCAAGGGUCACUACCAGGGCUUGAUUGUGACCCCGGGUGACUCCUUCAAAGUCCUUGUUGCUGAAGGAAAUCACUUGUUCGGGGAAGGCUUGGAUGGACAUCACUUCUUGACAGGAGCCCGGGCUAGGGGGAGGUGAACAGGAUCCUCCUAGCACUACGUUGACAAUGUUUUUCUGUUUCCCGGAUCCCCCUGUUUUGUCGGCUGUAUUCCGGGCUAUAUAUUGCCCCAUGUUUCCUUUGCUGAUCUGUUCUUCAAUGAAGUACUUGAGGGAUAUGCAAUUUUCAGUUUUAUGACCAUGGGUACCAUGGUAAUCACAGUGCCUGUUGGUGGGCCUGCUUUCAGGAGGAGUUUGCAUGGGUUUUGGUGGGUAGUAGAAGGGUUUGUCCCGGACCUCUUUGAGUAUGUCCCCGCGGGACCUGUUUAGAGGAGUCCAUUCGGGCUCUGGUUUUGGUUCCCUGGUUGCUUUGUUCGGACCGGGGUCACUUCUGGACCCGGAUCCCUGUUGGCUGGUUCUCUUGGAACCUGAUUGCUGGAUGAAGUUUGUCUGUCUGUCCGGUUUGAAUUUCUUAUCCUGGUGAUAUUCUUUCCGGGGUCUAUCCUCGACCUGUUUUCCUCUUGAGCUGCCCUGUCUGGUCAUUCUCAUGGCUUGAAGUACGUCGGUUUCUUUGAUGAAUUUUGCAGCCAUGGCAUAAGCGGCCGCCAGGCUCUGGGGUUCUUUGUUGAUCAACUCGACAACAUAUCUCUCAUUUUGUUCCGGGUCUAGGUUUCUUCUGAAAAUGCUCAAAGCCUCACGCUCGUCGAGAUUGGAGAUUUUGUUGAUUGCUUCCUGGAAACGUUUCAUGUAAUCUGAGAGUGCCUCAUUGUCAUACUGACGAACCGUUUCCAGGUGACACAUAUGAAGUUCAUGUGUCUUGUUUGCUCGGAACCUUCUGAGGAAGGCUUCCCUGAAGUCUUUCCAAGACCCGAUGCUCCGGGAGGGGAUCCGGCUGAACCAUCUCUGGGCCCCUCCCUUGAAGGUGGACGCGAAGAAGCGACAUUUGGUUAGAUCAUUGUACCAGUAAAUUUGGGCUAUCUGUUCAAAGUAGUGCAGGUGUUCCUCCGGGUCUCCCAGUCCAUUGNNNNNNNNNNNNNNNNNNNNNNNNNNNNNNNNNNNNNNNNNNNNNNNNNNNNNNNNNNNNNNNNNNNNNNNNNNNNNNNNNNNNNNNNNNNNNNNNNNNNNNNNNNNNNNNNNNNNNNNNNNNNNNNNNNNNNNNNNNNNNNNNNNNNNNNNNNNNNNNNNNNNNNNNNNNNNNNNNNNNNNNNNNNNNNNNNNNNNNNNNNNNNNNNNNNNNNNNNNNNNNNNNNNNNNNNNNNNNNNNNNNNNNNNNNNNNNNNNNNNNNNNNNNNNNNNNNNNNNNNNNNNNNNNNNNNNNNNNNNNNNNNNNNNNNNNNNNNNNNNNNNNNNNNNNNNNNNNNNNNNNNNNNNNNNNNUGCAGCUGCUGGAUGGGGGCCUACAAAACAACGCCGGCGGGGGGUUUUGCCCCGAAGCGCCUCCGGCGUGAGAGUAAGCGUAGGUUUCGGAAGGAUAAAGAUUAGAGAAAGUGCUAUCUAUGUGUGGUGGGUGAAGGUGUAUGUGUGAUGGUUGCUGGUGGCUGAUGGCUGAGAGUGUUUGAGUAUAUGCUGAGUGUAAGUGUGUGUAUGAAUGAGUGUAAAGAGAGUCAAGUUUUUCCCCAGACUCUUGAUCCUUGGUCUAUUUAUAGGCCAAGGAUUAGGGUUCGGGGGUGCGUACCUGGAUCCUGGUCCUACACGUGUAGGGGUUUGAUCCCCUACACGUGUCCAGGUGUCGGCGUAGAAGUAGUCUUUUGGAAUGUUCCCUGGCUUGUCUCUAUCGCCAGUAGUUGACCGUUAUAUUUGUCUUCAUCGUGUCAGUCUGUGCCUUGUGCAGCAAGUGUCGGCUGGUACAGGUUUGGACCCCGGUCAAGGAGUAUGAUCCGGAUAUACGCCUGGUGUACCCGGGUCCUGUACCUUAUCCGGACGGCGUACUCUGGUAGGGUUGGUGGAUUGUACCCUACUCCUGGUGGCUUCCCGGGGAUCGGGGUCUUUGAGUAGGCCCGGGUUUGUGAACCCGGGUUACCCCUAUCAAGUAGUUGUUCCCUUUGCUGGUUUCACCAUCUGGAUAGCCUCCUUCUGGAACCCAUCGAACUGAAACAAACAGAACAACAAUAUAAGUCACAAUUCUAUAAUGACAAUUUCUAAGAGCAAGUCCAAUGGUGAUGUUAAAAUAGAUGUAGCUAUUGUUAUAAUUUGAAACCAAAAAGUGGUUUUUGGUGUUAAAAUAGAACUUAUAGUCCAAUGGUAAAUGCAAAAUAGAACCAAACAUAUCCAAAUAAAGCUAUAUUCUAAUUACAUAAUCUUAAAGUACAUAAUUAUAUUUGUCACUAUUACUUUAUUAAUGCAUUUUGUCACUUGCAUGCUUAUGUGGCAAUUAUAGCACCAUCUAUACUUGGUUCUAUAUUUAGCACCAAGUAUAGCAUUUUGCUAUUCUAUAUUCAAGUUUAGCAUCUCAUUGGAGUUUGAGUUUUUUGCUUGGAUGCUAUAUUAUAGCAAUAGCACCUACUUUAACACCACCAUUGGACUUGCUCUAACAUGUAAACCAGGAAAAUCAAACCCACAUCAAGCGUAUCAGGAAGCUGGAACGACGGAGUUCUUAGAAAGCUCUCGCACAAGUCAGAGUCAGCUCCGCAAAACGAGGCAGGAGAUUCGAGUCCACUAAAAUCAAUUCUCUUCAUUGCUUAAUCUGCAGUUACACAGAUAAAUCGCAGUUGUUAUCCAUCCACUACAUCAAAAAAACAUCAAGCACAAAAGCCACACAUUAUUCCCAACACCUAACUACAUAACAUAUCCACCUCAUAAUCCGCAAUCAUUUACAACAUACAUCGAAACCUCUAACCUAAACCUUCUGCCUGUCCCCCAGCUCAAAUCACUCUCCAAAGCAAUUUCCUAAACCUCUAACCUAAACCUUCUGUCUGUCCCCCAGCUCGAAUCAACCGACCAAAAUUUUUUGUGUUUCGGUUUUUAUAUAUUAUAUUACUACAAAUAUGUGUAUAUGCAUAUGUUAUUCGACGAUGAUGUCUUUUUUAUUGAUUUAAUGAAUUUACCUAAAAAAUUUUAGAGACUAUAAAAUGAAGAAUUGUAUCUUGAAAUUAUUAAGUAUUGUGUCAAUUUUUUUGAUGCAUAAGACUAUAAGUUAAAUUUUAAAUUUAAUAAUAUUCAAGUUCAGAAAAAAAUCUUAAAAAAUAUACUUAUAAUGUUACUAAUUUUUUGAAAUUUGGGUUUUAGAUAAAUCCAAAUUAAAUUUGAUUUGAAUUCAGAUAUCUAAAAACCCAAUUGAAUUUGGAUUUGAUUAGGAGUCCUAUAAAUCCACCAUAAUUCCCCUCUUGUUGCCUACACAUUCUCUUCCUCCCUUUUUUUUUCAUAGCUAAGGAUGGCGACUUGUCUACCCGAAGAGAUCACUUUUUACGAGAUUUUACUCCGACGAUCAACACUUUCUAUCAAGUGUUGGAUUCGUUUAACUUUAGUAUGCAAGCGUUGGCUUUCACUCAUCACAAAACCUGGACCAAUCAAUUCCCACCUCGUUCACUCUUUAUAUCUUAAUAAUACUUGUGAAUCCCCUUCUGUUGUUGCUCAUUAUUCCGGACGUCACACUUUCCCCGAAAUCAUCGUCUUGCCCAACAACAACUCAGUCUUUUACAAAUUUAAGGAUUCUGUAGUUAAAAUCUGUGUCCAAAUCUUUGGCUUUGAUCCCUCCUUUCUUCAAGUUGAAUCAUAUCGCCAUGCAGCAGGUGCACUGCAUGUUAAACUAAUAGAUUCAGUAAAUGGUCUUGUCUGUUUCUCUCAUGCAUAUGCGCAACGCGUGCUUUUUAUUUGGAAUCCGGUAACCAAUCUCUUCACAACUGUUUACAAACCGUCUGUUGUUUCAAGUGCAACAAUCCUUAAUGAAGACUCUGUAUUCUAUUAUGACCCGGUGAAAGGAGAUGUGAAGAUUAUGCACAUUGAACUUUUGUGUUGGAUGGAAAACACGAAUUCAAUUCGAGUUCAUGUGUACUCUUUCAACGCUGAGGUUUGGAAAGAAAUUAAAGACGACACACUUCCCAGGACACAGUUUAAAAUCAUGCGCACUGUCAAGCGUAGGCCUGGUUACACUUAUGUGCAAUUUGGUUCGUCUGAGUUGGUGGCCUUUGAUUUUAAUAACGAGGUGUUCAAGCGCUUGCCUUAUUUUCCUAGUGAUAGUACCAUUAACUGGAUGGGCUCUCUUUGUAAAGUAAGGCUUAAUUACCCAGAACAAGUCGUAUAUGCUUUGGAUGGAAGUAAUGCUACUUGGAUGGAAAAAUGCAUUGUUCGUUAUUCCCCCGAAGCGGACAAGUUAAGACUAAGACUAAGACUAAGUUUGAGCAAUGGUGACAUGGUAGUUGAAGAUAAGUACGGGACUCCGUUGUGGUCCGAAGCUGAAGCUGAUCAACGUAGCAGGCCUACUAAUUUAAUAUCUGAAACGAGUGGACGCUACUAUGAUAUUACUCCCUACACAGAAAGCCUACUUUGCGUCAAGGGGAUGCAGGACCUUAAUAAAAAGAUGAAAACCAGAAGAGAAGUAUGUAAUUUGAGGAAGAAAAUAACAAGAUAAUUUGGUUGUGGUUUGUAAUGAGAAAUCUUAAUUUUAUAAUUUGCUUUUCUUUAAGCACGCCAUUAUUGUAGUUUCUUGUUUGCUUCUGAUCAUCAACUGAUUUUAUGUUGCUUCUGGUAUGAUUCAUUAUUAACUAAGUCAUGACAAUCUCUGUCUAAUGAGUAACACUGUUGCUUCUCAUUAUUUACUAAUAAUGUUAGCUACUAAAUGGGAGCCAGUAUUUUUGGCUCGGAAACAGAGUUUAUGUUUUAGUUAGGAAACUGAAAUACUCAUCAAAAUCUAUUUAAUGGGAGUUGGAACAUGAACAUUGGUAAGAAUAUACAAAUAAACUACUUCUUACUAAAUUUAGUAAGAAGCUAAUAGUCAAGUAUAAGAAUAAAUAUAUUAUUAAAAGAGUUCAGGUAAAAAUCAUUUAUAUUUUAGGUAAUAAUAAUUUAUAACUUCAAAUUUAUAGUUAGUAAGAUCGGAAAUAACUCUUGAGUUCAAAAAUAAUGGUGAUAUCUGAGAAACAUGAUGAUAUUCGAUAAUAAAAUGAUAAAAUUAUUUAUAGAUAAGAAGGCCGGGAGAAUACGUGAAAUAUUUUUUGUUGUAGAUGUUUGUAUAGUAAUACUGUUUAAAAUUCAUUUGAUAAUAGAAAAUAGGUGAAAGAAAUAUUAAGAAACAAAAAAAGAAAUAUGACAUGAUUAUUAUAGAAAUUGUUUUAUUUUUUAAAGUCAAAAAAAUAUCAAAUUCAAAAGGUGAAGGAAAAAUAAAGAAAUAAAAAGAAAGAUAUAAGACGAUUUCAGAUAUACUUCUUUUAGGGGGAAAAAAACUCUGUAAUAUAUAGGCAGCUUCUGCUUCUUACUAAAUUUACUAUAAACUCGUGUUUUUGUUGCUGUUUGUUUUCUGGUAUCAACUCAACUAACUAAAUUUAGUAUAAACUCUUUUUUUACUAAAUUUCAUUGUAGGAUAGUAAUGAAAAAAUAUGGGCUUCAAGUUGUCAUCAACUACCUACCUGAACAUGGAUAGGUGCUCAGAAUACUUGCAAGUUUAGACUUGAGACUAGAUAUUACAGAGAUAUUCUUCAUUACGUAUUUCACUGAGUAAACGCUCUUCAAGCUUAGACAAAGAACAUGGAAUUUCGCAGUUUUUCAUGAACGGUCCCACCACCAUGGUUUGAACACGUUUCUGAAAUGUCAUCGUACAUCGUAAACUUCCUUGUCUGAGUGGCUGCCAAGUGUGCAUAAUGAAUUGGAGCAACUGUGCUCAGAAUACUUGCAAGUUUAGACUUGAGACUAGAUAUUACAGAGAUAUUCUUCAUUACGUAUUUCACUGAGUAAACGCUCUUCAAGCUUAGACAAAGAACAUGGAAUUUCGCAGUUUUUCAUGAACGGUCCCACCACCAUGGUUUGAACACGUUUCUGAAGUGUCAUCGUACAUCGUAAACUUCCUUGUCUGAGUGGCUGCCAAGCGUGCAUAAUGAAUUGGAUGUAAACUUCCUUGUCUGAGUGGCUGCCAAGCGUGCAUAAUGAAUUGGAGCAACUGGAAUGGUUUGAACACGUUUCUGAAGUGUCAUCGUACAUUGUAAACUUCCUUGUCUGAGUGGCUGCCAAGCGUGCAUAAUGAAUUGGAGCAACUGGAACAAAGAAAGAUUUGUAUCAGAAUCUAUAGUGGAAAGCACAACACAUGUGAACAUUUGAAAGCACUGGUUGGAUAUGUACAUACCUACAGAAGUAGCAGUUGUGCUUCCCUGGUACCUGAAAUCACAUGAUAUACUGGGAUGUUAGUAACCUCCUACAUAGACAUGUCAGCUAAAUUAACAAAUAAGAAACAAAUACAUACUGGUAGCACAGAAAAUGAACAAAUUUCUGCAUCUCAUCCGGGGAAAAACCAAUUUCAUCCAACAAAACGUGAUAAUGGGUUGGCCUUGUAGUACCCUAAUGAGAUGAAAUAUAAGAAUGUUAGGAGAAUUUGUUGACAAUUGAAAUGAAGAAUUGACUGACCAAAACUAAUUACCCAAUAUAUCAACAGGUAAGAUACAUGCUACCAAAUUAUAUCAUGCCUUUAACUAACAAGUCAAAUACUCACAACCAUUCCAGCCUGAGCACACAAGUAGAAAUCAUUGUUCCGAGGAUGACAGAUCUUAUUGUCAACAACAGUUCCUGAAAAGAAAAGAAAAUUAGCACCUCGUGCACCACACCUUUGUACUAAAACCAUGCAAAUAUUAACUAUCUUAAACAUUCUACCAGCGGGGACAUUGUCAGCAGAUGUUGGCUGGAAAAACUUUGUAUGUCGACUCUUUUGUGCAAUUAUGACAACAAACUUUGGGCACCAUUUCCCAUCCUUGAACUUGCACGCCUGCAUAUAUAAAUUAGAAGAUUUCCAACAAACAUAACAUACAAAUUAAGCAAUAUUUAGCAUACCUCAAUAAUUUGAUUCAAUUCAAAAUUCAGAACCUGAUUGAACUGUGAUUCGCUAACACCAUUCCUAAAGAUUAUAGUACAGGGUAUUACUACAUAGCAAAAGAAUAUAAAUUGCACAAAAAAAGUAGCACCCGGAAUAGAAAAAUACAAAAACUCUUAUUUGGCAAGUAGUUAGAAGGUAAACACACAUAUUCUAAAUUUCAAGUACACCCACACUUCAAUCAUAUUCAGUCAAAAGUACCUAAAUAUAAUGAUUUGUUCGGGUCUCCUGCUCCCUGACCUCAUGUAAUAGUCAUCCAAAAUCUCACUGCAGAUAAACAGCGGAUGUCACUAAUAAAUUAUCCCUCGACUGCUUACUGAUAAUUAUGACUGCAUACUGAAAGUCAAAAACUGAUUCUAGCUUACUAUUAUUACCCUUGCAAGGGUCUUCAAAUGAGAUGAAGGACUUUAUAACUAGCAAAUGUAACAAUAAUAACAUAAAAGACAGUCAUAUAUAGAUCAACCUCAUUAUUCCAUCAUCUUUGUUGUCAGCAACUCUGGUAAAGAGAGAGGCUAUCAUCUUAACCUUUGGGGACUGAGUAUGAACUGAUGCCCUAUACUUUGCGCUCAGUGGCCCCUCUCCGGAACUAACAACCUGAGAAUUUUAUGAAUGUAAGAUAAGACAAAAUGGCCAGUGCUUGUACCUAACAACCUGCGAAAUUUUACGAAAGAAAAGCAAGACAAAACACAAAAUAGAAUUGAAAUUCCGACACCGAUGUUGCAUUUCGUCGGAGAAAUAUGUCACAUCGUUCAUAAUCCAUUAAUGGUAAUUUUUAAAAACUAUUGCAUCGUAAAUUUCAAUGUAUUACUUGUAUAAGAUUUUCAAAAAUACACUGGAACCACUUAAAUUAGAAGAGCAGAUGAAAAAUGAUUAUAAAAAAAAGAUUCACCGCAGCAAUAGAUGGAACAUCAGAAGAGCCACGGCAGAGCGUCAUCCCAAUGAUAAGUGAGCCAGCUUUUAGUUUUUGAGAAAUGCUACGGGCAUAUCCAAUUGCGAACUUCGAAUUCAGCCCACCAAGCUACCAAGACAAUAAAAAAUAUUCAUCAAUGUCAAAUCCACUGAAAAACUAUUAACAUCAGAUUAUUCCAGAAUAUAUAAUACCUUUGCAUUGAUCUUUAGAAGGACACUCAUCAGACGUUGGUCAACUACAUAAGAAAGGCCUUUUCUUGUAUAAAUCUUAGGACCAAUGCACUGUGUAUAAAUUCCAUGGACAACUUGACAAUUUCUUUUCCAGUGACCUUGCAAAACAAAUUAGUAAAGUCAAGUAAAUAUACAGUAUUGAAAAAAAUUUGAACAGAGGACUAGAAACAAACCAUAUAGAGGUGAUUUCCUCUCAGGAAGUACACAGAGCAAAAAUUGUGGGGCGUAUGGAAGUUUUGAGAACAAAAAUUUGAACAUCUUUUCAACUCUAACAAGAGGAGAAUCCCGCCUGUGCUGUGGACUUUCCUCGAUCACCACAGGAGAGCUCAAAAAAUUCUGUAGAAAAAGUUUUAACAAUUAAAAAGUUCAACAAUUAGCCGUGCAAAUGGCAGAAACAAUUAAUACUUACCAUUCCUUUUAACUCCCCGCAUUUUAUAAGAUCAUUUAUUAGGGAUUGCAUGUUGCACUUAGCAGAGAAGUUGACAACAGCCCAUUCACUAAUUGUUGUAGGCUGCAAGAGUUUCUGGUCAAACACAUUAAAAGUUAAUUAAAAUCAUCAACAGACAUGUAUAAUGGAUAAAAACGUUAAUAACUUUACUAUAAACAAACCUUUUCGCUGAAAUUCCAGCGACCGUUGUGGGGUGCUAUGGUUUCUAAAUGUCCGACCCGUAUCUGUAAUUAUAAGAAAUGAGAAAGUCAUAAGCUACAAAACAUAUAGGGGGGAGUGAGAGAGAAGUGUGUACCCUAGGUGCUGCCAGCAUGCGCCCAUCUACUUCAGUGAACUUAUUAAUAAUAGAAACACCGCAGGCACGCAACAAAGGCUCGUCAGCAUAAUUGUUGAUUUGUGGACCCUGCAAACACCAUGAAGUAGUUUUAUAAAAAAUAAAAAUGAGAAUGCUCUUCCUCGAAAGGUUGAUAAGAUAAGAAUUACGUUUGUCAAUGUUGUCAUCCUAUCUUGGGGCUUUUGCUUUGAUUUCUCCACCAAUGACCCUGGUUGAAGAGUGGUAAGAGCUUUUGGAUAAUGUUGCAAGGAAACCAGUGAACAAAGCUACAAAACAGUUGCAUUUAAGUAUAAAGUAAGAAAUUCAUUUGUCACAUAGAGAUCCUGAGAUAUAAUUGAGAACUGUAACUGCUAAUUAGUAAUGCGGCAAAGAAUAACCUCUAGAGGGAUAUAUGUUGGACGCUUGGGGUUUCCAACAAUAAUGCAGGGAAGAUCACCAGAGUAACACAGAGGAAUAUUUCUAAUGUUUACAAAAUAAUCAUAAACAGAUAAUUCAGUCAUUAGUGGUUCCCCAUUCUCAUCUUUUUCACCUCUCCGCUUCAUCGAAAACCUACAGGACAAUUAAAAGAAACAUAAAUCUUCGAGUUGAACCAAAAAAACAUUGGGCAAUGGAAAUACAAAAACUUAAACAGGCAAGGAAGUUGAUUUCUAAGAGCAUCCAGGCACAAAUACCACAAAUAGGUACAUUAAAAGUACUAGAAGCAUACAUAAGUUUUUUGCAGAUUUCAUCGCUGAGUCCUGUAAUCUUGUACGCAGUGUUAGUUGAACUGGUCUUCACCCUUAAACCUUUCAGCACUUGAUUGGCCUGCACAAUGGAGGGAAAACGAGAAUUUAGAAAUAAUAAGUUGAAGAAUUGGAUGAUGUAGUGAAGUUUAGUUUACCGUCGCCCAGUCAAGAGAAAAUGAAUCCUUGGCAUUCUGAUUGGCUAUCAGGAAAUCAACAACAGGUCCAGGCUUAAUAACCAUUAUGCUGUCUGAUAAGUCACAAAACAAAUCUAGUUAACAAUUUAUAUGUUGUAUCAGCUAUGCCGGCAUUAAUAUACAUUACUUGAAAAACAUAUAUUACAAUACAAACUUGAGCAAGCAUACCUAUAUUUAGUGACAAACCUCCCUGUGUGGUCCGAAAACUUGAAUUAAAUCCAUGAUAACCAAGGACGCCACCCCCCAAAUCAGAAAACUCAUUCACGUUAAAGCACAACUGGCGUUCAAAACGGCAUCCCCUGCAGUACUCAAUGUUAAAUAUCAAUCACAUGACAAACCCUAAAAAAGUCAGGAGCAAUAACAUACUGUUUAGCUGCAUGCUGUCUGACGAUGAUAUUUAGAACCCUUAUGGCCUCCUGAGAGUUCUUCGAGUCCUGACCACGUAAAGCUUGUGCAAUGGCCUGCAUAGGAAUCUUCGCAGCAAAGGAUAUCUCAACCUUGUAAGACUUAGAUUGAUUGUUCCUGCAUAUAAUAACAAUCCAGUGAACUCUAGCUUGUUUCUUAACCACAACAGUGAACUCUAGCAAUUAUUUAAGCAAAAACAUACCUAUUGGAUGAGUUAUCCUUAAGCACAACAGUGAACUCAAGCUUGUUUUUAGGAAGAGCUCCAACUGUAAACAGACUCUUUUCACCAUCAUAAGCGAAGUCUUUCCCUUCCACCUCAGCCUUGUAUGUGUCAUGAACACAAUCAAGCACUUGGGUUUUAAUACCUUUACCUUCAACUGGACGGCCAUCCUCAUAGAAAAAGGCAACCUGCAUAAUUAUUAUGCUUAGAUUCUGCCAAACGCAGCCAGGCAACAGCAAGGAAAAAAAAUACAAGGUAAAUAAUUAACUAGGAAGAAACUUACAGUAUACUGAAAAAAAUGUCCAUCGACAUUUUUAACAUUCACUUUAUAGUGAUUCGUAAGAAGUUGAAUCUUCUUGCCUUUUGAUGCUAGGCCACACCUAGCUAUAGGCUUCUUGGCUUCCAUCUUAACACAAAUAAACACAAACAUUACACAGUAAUGAAAUAAUCAGUUCAACACGAGUAAUAGAUUUUUAAAAAAAUAAAAAAUAUAACAUACACAGCUCUUUCAACUCUAAUUCACAUAAAAAUACCGCAAGCAAAAAAUCAGUUCAAGCAUCAAACUGUAGUUCAACACGAGUAAUAGAUGUAAUUAACGCGUCAAACUGUAAAAAAUAUUACAUACACAGCUCUUUCAACUCUAAUUCACAUAAAAAUACCGCAAGCAAACAAUCAGUUCAAGCAUCAAACUGUAAUUCAACACGAGUAAUAGAUGUAAUUAACGCAUCAAACUGUAAAAAAUAUAACAUGCACAGCUCUUUCAACUCUAAUUCACAUAAAAAUACCUCAAGCAAACAAUCAGUUCAAGCAUCAAACUGUAAUUCAACACGAGUAAUAGAUGUAAUUAACGCAACAAACUGUAAUUCAACACNACUGUAAUUCAACACGAGUAAUANNNNNNNNNNNNNNNNNNNNNNNNNNNNNNNNNNNNNNNNNNNNNNNNNNNNNNNNNNNNNNNNNNNNNNNNNNNNNNNNNNNNNNNNNNNNNNNNNNNNNNNNNNNNNNNNNNNNNNNNNNNNNNNNNNNNNNNNNNNNNNNNNNNNNNNNNNNNNNNNNNNNNNNNNNNNNNNNNNNNNNNNNNNNNNNNNNNNNNNNNNNNNNNNNNNNNNNNNNNNNNNNNNNNNNNNNNNNNNNNNNNNNNNNNNNNNNNNNNNNNNNNNNNNNNNNNNNNNNNNNNNNNNNNNNNNNNNNNNNNNNNNNNNNNNNNNNNNNNNNNNNNNNNNNNNNNNNNNNNNNNNNNNNNNNNNNNNNNNNNNNNNNNNNNNNNNNNNNNNNNNNNNNNNNNNNNNNNNNNNNNNNNNNNNNNNNNNNNNNNNNNNNNNNNNNNNNNNNNNNNNNNNNNNNNNNNNNNNNNNNNNNNNNNNNNNNNNNNNNNNNNNNNNNNNNNNNNNNNNNNNNNNNNNNNNNNNNNNNNNNNNNNNNNNNNNNNNNNNNNNNNNNNNNNNNNNNNNNNNNNNNNNNNNNNNNNNNNNNNNNNNNNNNNNNNNNNNNNNNNNNNNNNNNNNNNNNNNNNNNNNNNNNNNNNNNNNNNNNNNNNNNNNNNNNNNNNNNNNNNNNNNNNNNNNNNNNNNNNNNNNNNNNNNNNNNNNNNNNNNNNNNNNNNNNNNNNNNNNNNNNNNNNNNNNNNNNNNNNNNNNNNNNNNNNNNNNNNNNNNNNNNNNNNNNNNNNNNNNNNNNNNNNNNNNNNNNNNNNNNNNNNNNNNNNNNNNNNNNNNNNNNNNNNNNNNNNNNNNNNNNNNNNNNNNNNNNNNNNNNNNNNNNNNNNNNNNNNNNNNNNNNNNNNNNNNNNNNNNNNNNNNNNNNNNNNNNNNNNNNNNNNNNNNNNNNNNNNNNNNNNNNNNNNNNNNNNNNNNNNNNNNNNNNNNNNNNNNNNNNNNNNNNNNNNNNNNNNNNNNACCUGGCUGACAUAGUAGACGGGCUUCUGCUGCCCGGCUUCUUCCCUGAUCAGGGCUGCCCCAACGGCCAAAGGUCCGGCUGACAGGUAUAGAUAGAGAGGCUCUCCGGGUAAGGCUUUUGUCAGGAUCGGAGGUUUGGACAGGUAUGAUUUGAUUUCAUCAAGGGCUUUUUGGCACUCCGGGCUCCAUUCUACUAACUUCUGAUUUUUUGCCCCUUUUAACAGUUCGAAGAACGGUAGGCAUCUUUCAGCGAGUUUGGAGACAAACCUUCGAAGUGCUGCCAAGGACCCUGCUAGCUUUUGAACCUCCCUUUGGGUCCGGGGUGGUUGCAUCUCUUGUACAGCUUUGAUCUUCUCCGGGUUGGCCUCGAUACCCCGGUUGCUUACCAUGAAACCCAGAAACUUUCCAGCCUCUACUCCAAAGGUGCACUUGUCUGGAUUGAGCUUUAGCUUAGUUCUUCUCAUGUUCUCAAAACAUUCUCUGAGGUCUGAUAUGUGACAUUAGCUAGCCACUCCGGGUAUUUGAUUUCACAUAUGAUAUCGGCUUUCAUUAAUUUGCCAACUUCCUCAUCUAUUGCCCUCUGCCUCUCCGGGGCGAAAUUUCUUCGUUUUUGUUUAACAGGCUUCUUCUUGGGAUCGACGUCCAGGCUGUGCAUUGCCAAUGAUUCAUCCAACCCGGGCAUGUCGUCCGGGCUCCAGGCAAAAACAUCUGCAUAGCUCCGGAGUAGUUGGAUGAGUUCCUCUUUAAAGACAGUAUCCAGGCCUUUUCCAAUUUUGACUUUCCUUGUCGGGUUGUCUUUUUCGAUCAGGACCGACUCGGUCUCGACCGCAGCUUCGACCUUGGUCAAUUCUUGUGCCGAGAUCAUUUGUUGGGGUUGCUCCCGGGUUGAUGUUACCCGGGUCGAGAUCAUUUGUUGGAUCCGGGCGUCAGUGUUCUUUUCCACAAAAUCUUGAGCUGAGUCCGUGGUUGCUUUCUGGAUGUUUUGUUCAGGACCAGGGUUGGUUGCUCCCGGGUUAAUGUUACCCGGGUUGAGGUCGAUCACCUGGACCUCUCCUUUGGGAUUUGUUUUCGGGUAUGGUCGGUGUUUUUUGUUGCUCUUCUGUUUUUGAAAAACGGUUGCCUUUCUCUUGUUGUCCAGGUGUGUUUCUGCCAUGACCAAGGCUUGGCUAUAACAUACCCCGGCUGUCGCCGAGUCUCCUUUGACUUCUCCUACCCCGAACGGGGUUGGGAAUUUGAACUUUCCCCGGCUGUCGCCGAGUCUCCUUUGACUUCUCCUACCCCGAACGGGGUUGGGAAUUUGAACUUCAGGUGUGGAAUGGAUGUGAUAGCUUCGAUCUUGUUCAGACCUGGGCGGCCGAUGAUCACGUUGUAAGGUGAGGGCGUAUCUGUGACAUAGAAUUUGAUGGUAUGAGUGACUUGGUUCGGAAGAGUUCCGAAUCGGACCGGGAGAUAGAGUGUGCCAAGGACCGGGACAAUGCUAUUCCCGAACCCAUAUAGAGGAUCCUCCCUGUAGUCGUUCAUCCGGAUACUCCCGAGCUCCAUUCGAUCCAUGGUGUGUUUGAACAAGAUGUUGGCCGAGGAGCCGUUGUCCACCAGGAUCCUCCUUACUUCAUUUUCGGCCAUGUCAAGGGUCACUACCAGGGCUUGAUUGUGGCCCCGGGUGACUCCUUCAAAGUCCUUGUUGCUGAAGGAGAUCACUUGUUCGGGGAAGGCUUGAAUGGACAUCACUUCUUGACAGGAGCCCGGGCUAGGGGGAGGGGAACAGGAUCCUCCCAGCACUACGUUGACAAUGUUUUUCUGUUUCCCGGAUCCUCCUGUUUUGUCGGCUGUAUUCCGGGCUAUAUACUGUCCCAUAUUUCCCUUGCUGAUCUGCUCUUCAAUGAAGUACUUGAGGGAUAUGCAAUUUUCAGUUUUAUGACCAUGGGUACCAUGGUAAUCACAGUGCCUGUUGGUAGGUCUGCUUUCGGGAGGAGUUUGCAUGGGUUUUGGUGGGUAGUAGAAGGGUUUGUCCCGGACCUCUUUGAGUAUGUCCUCGCGAGACCUGUUUAGAGGAGUCCAUUCGGGCUCUGGUUUUGGUUCCCUGGUUGCUUUGUUUGGACCGGGGUCGUUUCUGGACCCGGAUCCCUGUUGGCUGGUUCUCUUAGAACCUGAUUGCUGGAUGAAGUUUGUUUGUCUAUCUGGCUUGAAUUUCUUAUCUUGGAGUACAUCGGUUUCCUUGAUGAAUUUGGCGGCCAUGGCAUAGGCAGCUGCCAGGCUUUGGGGUUCCUUGUUGAUCAGUUCGACCACAUAUCUCUCAUUUUGUUCCGGGUCCAGGUUCCUUCGGAAUAUGCUUAGGGCCUCACGUUCAUCCAAGUUGGAAAUUUUGUUGAUUGCUUCCUGGAAACGUUUCAUGUAGUCUGAGAGUGCCUCAUUGUCAUAUUGGCGAACCGUUUCCAGGUGACACAUAUGGAGUUCAUGUGUCUUGUUUGCUCGAAACCUUCUGAGGAAGGCUUCCCUGAAAUCUUUCCAGGACCCGAUGCUCCGGGAGGGGAUCCGGCUGAACCAUCUCUGGGCCCCUCCCUUGAAUGUGGAUGCGAAGAAGCGACAUUUGGUUAGAUCAUUGUACCAGUAAAUUUGGGCUAUCUGUUCAAAGUAGUGCAGGUGUUCCUCCGGGUCUCCCAGUCCAUUGNNNNNNNNNNNNNNNNNNNNNNNNNNNNNNNNNNNNNNNNNNNNNNNNNNNNNNNNNNNNNNNNNNNNNNNNNNNNNNNNNNNUCCGGGUCUCCCAGUCCAUUGAAAGAUUCAAAGUUGUAGUGUUUCAUACCCUUUUGCCGGGGUAUGGAUUCCAAGGAGUGGCUGAAGGGAGUCAGGGUUCCCCCAAUUUCAAGCCCGGCAUCGUUUCCGAUUUUCCGGUUGAGUUCAUUGAUCAUGUCUCUGAGGUUGGUUUGCCCCGGUCUCUCAUCCUCGUCAUCAGAGAUGAGUUCGGGUGUUGUUUCCUUCCGGUAGCGCUUGGACCGGGAUCCUUUUGUCAACUUUUCCUCUUCGAGUUGAAUCCGGAGGGCGAUUUUUUGCUCAAGUUUUUCUUCUUCCUCUUUCCGGAUUUGUUCUUUCCUUUCGGCCAAGAUCUUCAGCCGGGUUUCCUCACUUUCCUUUUGUUUCUUUUUCUUUGUUUUGUCCCCGAUCCGGUCAAAGACGGAACCCCGGGAUUGACGGCUGUUCCCGGAGUCCUCAGACUCACCGAUGUCCUCAAGUCUGCGGUUGCUUUCCCGGCGAUCAUGGUACUGCCGGAUGGCCUCGGCCAACUCUACAUUGGUGAGCUGGGACAGGUGGAGGGUGGUGAUCGGGACGUCGGUGUACUUGUACUGAUUCGCUUCGAUCGUGACCCGUGCAUCAUUAGGGUUGAUUGCUUGGUUCUCGUCCGGGUUCACAUGGGUGAAAAGGGGUCCUGAGGCAUGAUCCUGGUUCGGGUUGUCCUGGUCUGUCUGAGGGUUAUCCGGGUUCUGGGGAAGCCCCAGGUGGGAGCGUGUCCUUUUUGUCAUGGUUUCAAGAACUCACACAGGGCGUAUGGUUGCUGUUUUUGUGACAAUGCUUGCAAAUAGUAUAGAUAGUGACAGGGUGACAGAAAUAGUGUGUACAGGUAGUCAACUUACUAUUUUCAGAAAUACUAUAAGUAGUUAAGUGACAAAUUGUGACCAGGUGUGAGACAAAAAGAUUNNNNNNNNNNNNNNNNNNNNNNNNNNNNNNNNNNNNNNNNNNNNNNNNNNNNNNNNNNNNNNNNNNNNNNNNNNNNNNNNNNNNNNNNNNNNNNNNNNNNNNNNNNNNNNNNNNNNNNNNNNNNNNNNNNNNNNNNNNNNNNNNNNNNNNNNNNNNNNNNNNNNNNNNNNNNNNNNNNNNNNNNNNNNNNNNNNNNNNNNNNNNNNNNNNNNNNNNNNNNNNNNNNNNNNNCCUCCGCCGUGACUGGUGGUUCCGUGGUGCAGCUGCUGGAGUGGGGGCCUAACAAACAACGGCCGGGCGGGGGGGUUUUGCCCGAAGCGCCUCCGGCGUGAGAGUAAGCGUAGGUUCGGAAGGAUAGAGAUUAGAGAAAGUGCUAUCUAUGUGUGGUGGGUGAAGGUGUUUGGUUGGUGGUUGCUGGUGGCUGAGAGUGUUUGAGUAUAUGCUGAGUGUAAGUGUGUGUAUGAAUGAGUGUAAAGAGAGAGUGAAGUUAACCCCCAGACUCUUGAUCCUUGGUCUAUUUAUAGGCCAAGGAUUAGGGUUCGGGGGUGCGUACCUGGAUCCUGGUCCUACACGUGUAGGGGUUUGAUCCCCUACACGUGUCCAGGUGUCGGCGUAGAAGUAGUCUUUUGGAAUGUUCCCUGGCUUGUCUCUAUCGCCAGUAGUUGACCGUUAUAUUUGUCUUCAUCGUGUCAGUCUGUGCCUUGUGCAGCAAGUGUCGGCUGGUACAGGUUUGGACCCCGGUCAAGGAGUAUGAUCCGGAUAUACGCCUGGUGUACCCGGGUCCUGUACCUUAUCCGGACGGCGUACUCUGGUAGGGUUGGUGGAUUGUACCCUACUCCUGGUGGCUUCCCGGGGAUCGGGGUCUUUGAGUAGGCCCGGGUUUGUGAACCCGGGUUACCCCUAUCAAGUAGUUGUUCCCUUUGCUGGUUUCACCAUCUGGAUAGCCUCCUUCUGGAACCCAUCGAACUGAAACAAACAGAACAACAAUAUAAGUCACAAUUCUAUAAUGACAAUUUCUAAGAGCAAGUCCAAUGGUGAUGUUAAAAUAGAUGUAGCUAUUGUUAUAAUUUGAAACCAAAAAGUGGUUUUUGGUGUUAAAAUAGAACUUAUAGUCCAAUGGUAAAUGCAAAAUAGAACCAAACAUAUCCAAAUAAAGCUAUAUUCUAAUUACAUAAUCUUAAAGUACAUAAUUAUAUUUGUCACUAUUACUUUAUUAAUGCAUUUUGUCACUUGCAUGCUUAUGUGGCAAUUAUAGCACCAUCUAUACUUGGUUCUAUAUUUAGCACCAAGUAUAGCAUUUUGCUAUUCUAUAUUCAAGUUUAGCAUCUCAUUGGAGUUUGAGUUUUUUGCUUGGAUGCUAUAUUAUAGCAAUAGCACCUACUUUAACACCACCAUUGGACUUGCUCUAACAUGUAAACCAGGAAAAUCAAACCCACAUCAAGCGUAUCAGGAAGCUGGAACGACGGAGUUCUUAGAAAGCUCUCGCACAAGUCAGAGUCAGCUCCGCAAAACGAGGCAGGAGAUUCGAGUCCACUAAAAUCAAUUCUCUUCAUUGCUUAAUCUGCAGUUACACAGAUAAAUCGCAGUUGUUAUCCAUCCACUACAUCAAAAAAACAUCAAGCACAAAAGCCACACAUUAUUCCCAACACCUAACUACAUAACAUAUCCACCUCAUAAUCCGCAAUCAUUUACAACAUACAUCGAAACCUCUAACCUAAACCUUCUGCCUGUCCCCCAGCUCAAAUCACUCUCCAAAGCAAUUUCCUAAACCUCUAACCUAAACCUUCUGUCUGUCCCCCAGCUCGAAUCAACCGACCAAAAUUUUUUGUGUUUCGGUUUUUAUAUAUUAUAUUACUACAAAUAUGUGUAUAUGCAUAUGUUAUUCGACGAUGAUGUCUUUUUUAUUGAUUUAAUGAAUUUACCUAAAAAAUUUUAGAGACUAUAAAAUGAAGAAUUGUAUCUUGAAAUUAUUAAGUAUUGUGUCAAUUUUUUUGAUGCAUAAGACUAUAAGUUAAAUUUUAAAUUUAAUAAUAUUCAAGUUCAGAAAAAAAUCUUAAAAAAUAUACUUAUAAUGUUACUAAUUUUUUGAAAUUUGGGUUUUAGAUAAAUCCAAAUUAAAUUUGAUUUGAAUUCAGAUAUCUAAAAACCCAAUUGAAUUUGGAUUUGAUUAGGAGUCCUAUAAAUCCACCAUAAUUCCCCUCUUGUUGCCUACACAUUCUCUUCCUCCCUUUUUUUUUCAUAGCUAAGGAUGGCGACUUGUCUACCCGAAGAGAUCACUUUUUACGAGAUUUUACUCCGACGAUCAACACUUUCUAUCAAGUGUUGGAUUCGUUUAACUUUAGUAUGCAAGCGUUGGCUUUCACUCAUCACAAAACCUGGACCAAUCAAUUCCCACCUCGUUCACUCUUUAUAUCUUAAUAAUACUUGUGAAUCCCCUUCUGUUGUUGCUCAUUAUUCCGGACGUCACACUUUCCCCGAAAUCAUCGUCUUGCCCAACAACAACUCAGUCUUUUACAAAUUUAAGGAUUCUGUAGUUAAAAUCUGUGUCCAAAUCUUUGGCUUUGAUCCCUCCUUUCUUCAAGUUGAAUCAUAUCGCCAUGCAGCAGGUGCACUGCAUGUUAAACUAAUAGAUUCAGUAAAUGGUCUUGUCUGUUUCUCUCAUGCAUAUGCGCAACGCGUGCUUUUUAUUUGGAAUCCGGUAACCAAUCUCUUCACAACUGUUUACAAACCGUCUGUUGUUUCAAGUGCAACAAUCCUUAAUGAAGACUCUGUAUUCUAUUAUGACCCGGUGAAAGGAGAUGUGAAGAUUAUGCACAUUGAACUUUUGUGUUGGAUGGAAAACACGAAUUCAAUUCGAGUUCAUGUGUACUCUUUCAACGCUGAGGUUUGGAAAGAAAUUAAAGACGACACACUUCCCAGGACACAGUUUAAAAUCAUGCGCACUGUCAAGCGUAGGCCUGGUUACACUUAUGUGCAAUUUGGUUCGUCUGAGUUGGUGGCCUUUGAUUUUAAUAACGAGGUGUUCAAGCGCUUGCCUUAUUUUCCUAGUGAUAGUACCAUUAACUGGAUGGGCUCUCUUUGUAAAGUAAGGCUUAAUUACCCAGAACAAGUCGUAUAUGCUUUGGAUGGAAGUAAUGCUACUUGGAUGGAAAAAUGCAUUGUUCGUUAUUCCCCCGAAGCGGACAAGUUAAGACUAAGACUAAGACUAAGUUUGAGCAAUGGUGACAUGGUAGUUGAAGAUAAGUACGGGACUCCGUUGUGGUCCGAAGCUGAAGCUGAUCAACGUAGCAGGCCUACUAAUUUAAUAUCUGAAACGAGUGGACGCUACUAUGAUAUUACUCCCUACACAGAAAGCCUACUUUGCGUCAAGGGGAUGCAGGACCUUAAUAAAAAGAUGAAAACCAGAAGAGAAGUAUGUAAUUUGAGGAAGAAAAUAACAAGAUAAUUUGGUUGUGGUUUGUAAUGAGAAAUCUUAAUUUUAUAAUUUGCUUUUCUUUAAGCACGCCAUUAUUGUAGUUUCUUGUUUGCUUCUGAUCAUCAACUGAUUUUAUGUUGCUUCUGGUAUGAUUCAUUAUUAACUAAGUCAUGACAAUCUCUGUCUAAUGAGUAACACUGUUGCUUCUCAUUAUUUACUAAUAAUGUUAGCUACUAAAUGGGAGCCAGUAUUUUUGGCUCGGAAACAGAGUUUAUGUUUUAGUUAGGAAACUGAAAUACUCAUCAAAAUCUAUUUAAUGGGAGUUGGAACAUGAACAUUGGUAAGAAUAUACAAAUAAACUACUUCUUACUAAAUUUAGUAAGAAGCUAAUAGUCAAGUAUAAGAAUAAAUAUAUUAUUAAAAGAGUUCAGGUAAAAAUCAUUUAUAUUUUAGGUAAUAAUAAUUUAUAACUUCAAAUUUAUAGUUAGUAAGAUCGGAAAUAACUCUUGAGUUCAAAAAUAAUGGUGAUAUCUGAGAAACAUGAUGAUAUUCGAUAAUAAAAUGAUAAAAUUAUUUAUAGAUAAGAAGGCCGGGAGAAUACGUGAAAUAUUUUUUGUUGUAGAUGUUUGUAUAGUAAUACUGUUUAAAAUUCAUUUGAUAAUAGAAAAUAGGUGAAAGAAAUAUUAAGAAACAAAAAAAGAAAUAUGACAUGAUUAUUAUAGAAAUUGUUUUAUUUUUUAAAGUCAAAAAAAUAUCAAAUUCAAAAGGUGAAGGAAAAAUAAAGAAAUAAAAAGAAAGAUAUAAGACGAUUUCAGAUAUACUUCUUUUAGGGGGAAAAAAACUCUGUAAUAUAUAGGCAGCUUCUGCUUCUUACUAAAUUUACUAUAAACUCGUGUUUUUGUUGCUGUUUGUUUUCUGGUAUCAACUCAACUAACUAAAUUUAGUAUAAACUCUUUUUUUACUAAAUUUCAUUGUAGGAUAGUAAUGAAAAAAUAUGGGCUUCAAGUUGUCAUCAACUACCUACCUGAACAUGGAUAGGUGCUCAGAAUACUUGCAAGUUUAGACUUGAGACUAGAUAUUACAGAGAUAUUCUUCAUUACGUAUUUCACUGAGUAAACGCUCUUCAAGCUUAGACAAAGAACAUGGAAUUUCGCAGUUUUUCAUGAACGGUCCCACCACCAUGGUUUGAACACGUUUCUGAAGUGUCAUCGUACAUCGUAAACUUCCUUGUCUGAGUGGCUGCCAAGCGUGCAUAAUGAAUUGGAGCAACUGGAACAAAGAAAGAUUUGUAUCAGAAUCUAUAGUGGAAAGCACAACACAUGUGAACAUUUGAAAGCACUGGUUGGAUAUGUACAUACCUACAGAAGUAGCAGUUGUGCUUCCCUGGUACCUGAAAUCACAUGAUAUACUGGGAUGUUAGUAACCUCCUACAUAGACAUGUCAGCUAAAUUAACAAAUAAGAAACAAAUACAUACUGGUAGCACAGAAAAUGAACAAAUUUCUGCAUCUCAUCCGGGGAAAAACCAAUUUCAUCCAACAAAACGUGAUAAUGGGUUGGCCUUGUAGUACCCUAAUGAGAUGAAAUAUAAGAAUGUUAGGAGAAUUUGUUGACAAUUGAAAUGAAGAAUUGACUGACCAAAACUAAUUACCCAAUAUAUCAACAGGUAAGAUACAUGCUACCAAAUUAUAUCAUGCCUUUAACUAACAAGUCAAAUACUCACAACCAUUCCAGCCUGAGCACACAAGUAGAAAUCAUUGUUCCGAGGAUGACAGAUCUUAUUGUCAACAACAGUUCCUGAAAAGAAAAGAAAAUUAGCACCUCGUGCACCACACCUUUGUACUAAAACCAUGCAAAUAUUAACUAUCUUAAACAUUCUACCAGCGGGGACAUUGUCAGCAGAUGUUGGCUGGAAAAACUUUGUAUGUCGACUCUUUUGUGCAAUUAUGACAACAAACUUUGGGCACCAUUUCCCAUCCUUGAACUUGCACGCCUGCAUAUAUAAAUUAGAAGAUUUCCAACAAACAUAACAUACAAAUUAAGCAAUAUUUAGCAUACCUCAAUAAUUUGAUUCAAUUCAAAAUUCAGAACCUGAUUGAACUGUGAUUCGCUAACACCAUUCCUAAAGAUUAUAGUACAGGGUAUUACUACAUAGCAAAAGAAUAUAAAUUGCACAAAAAAAGUAGCACCCGGAAUAGAAAAAUACAAAAACUCUUAUUUGGCAAGUAGUUAGAAGGUAAACACACAUAUUCUAAAUUUCAAGUACACCCACACUUCAAUCAUAUUCAGUCAAAAGUACCUAAAUAUAAUGAUUUGUUCGGGUCUCCUGCUCCCUGACCUCAUGUAAUAGUCAUCCAAAAUCUCACUGCAGAUAAACAGCGGAUGUCACUAAUAAAUUAUCCCUCGACUGCUUACUGAUAAUUAUGACUGCAUACUGAAAGUCAAAAACUGAUUCUAGCUUACUAUUAUUACCCUUGCAAGGGUCUUCAAAUGAGAUGAAGGACUUUAUAACUAGCAAAUGUAACAAUAAUAACAUAAAAGACAGUCAUAUAUAGAUCAACCUCAUUAUUCCAUCAUCUUUGUUGUCAGCAACUCUGGUAAAGAGAGAGGCUAUCAUCUUAACCUUUGGGGACUGAGUAUGAACUGAUGCCCUAUACUUUGCGCUCAGUGGCCCCUCUCCGGAACUAACAACCUGAGAAUUUUAUGAAUGUAAGAUAAGACAAAAUGGCCAGUGCUUGUACCUAACAACCUGCGAAAUUUUACGAAAGAAAAGCAAGACAAAACACAAAAUAGAAUUGAAAUUCCGACACCGAUGUUGCAUUUCGUCGGAGAAAUAUGUCACAUCGUUCAUAAUCCAUUAAUGGUAAUUUUUAAAAACUAUUGCAUCGUAAAUUUCAAUGUAUUACUUGUAUAAGAUUUUCAAAAAUACACUGGAACCACUUAAAUUAGAAGAGCAGAUGAAAAAUGAUUAUAAAAAAAAGAUUCACCGCAGCAAUAGAUGGAACAUCAGAAGAGCCACGGCAGAGCGUCAUCCCAAUGAUAAGUGAGCCAGCUUUUAGUUUUUGAGAAAUGCUACGGGCAUAUCCAAUUGCGAACUUCGAAUUCAGCCCACCAAGCUACCAAGACAAUAAAAAAUAUUCAUCAAUGUCAAAUCCACUGAAAAACUAUUAACAUCAGAUUAUUCCAGAAUAUAUAAUACCUUUGCAUUGAUCUUUAGAAGGACACUCAUCAGACGUUGGUCAACUACAUAAGAAAGGCCUUUUCUUGUAUAAAUCUUAGGACCAAUGCACUGUGUAUAAAUUCCAUGGACAACUUGACAAUUUCUUUUCCAGUGACCUUGCAAAACAAAUUAGUAAAGUCAAGUAAAUAUACAGUAUUGAAAAAAAUUUGAACAGAGGACUAGAAACAAACCAUAUAGAGGUGAUUUCCUCUCAGGAAGUACACAGAGCAAAAAUUGUGGGGCGUAUGGAAGUUUUGAGAACAAAAAUUUGAACAUCUUUUCAACUCUAACAAGAGGAGAAUCCCGCCUGUGCUGUGGACUUUCCUCGAUCACCACAGGAGAGCUCAAAAAAUUCUGUAGAAAAAGUUUUAACAAUUAAAAAGUUCAACAAUUAGCCGUGCAAAUGGCAGAAACAAUUAAUACUUACCAUUCCUUUUAACUCCCCGCAUUUUAUAAGAUCAUUUAUUAGGGAUUGCAUGUUGCACUUAGCAGAGAAGUUGACAACAGCCCAUUCACUAAUUGUUGUAGGCUGCAAGAGUUUCUGGUCAAACACAUUAAAAGUUAAUUAAAAUCAUCAACAGACAUGUAUAAUGGAUAAAAACGUUAAUAACUUUACUAUAAACAAACCUUUUCGCUGAAAUUCCAGCGACCGUUGUGGGGUGCUAUGGUUUCUAAAUGUCCGACCCGUAUCUGUAAUUAUAAGAAAUGAGAAAGUCAUAAGCUACAAAACAUAUAGGGGGGAGUGAGAGAGAAGUGUGUACCCUAGGUGCUGCCAGCAUGCGCCCAUCUACUUCAGUGAACUUAUUAAUAAUAGAAACACCGCAGGCACGCAACAAAGGCUCGUCAGCAUAAUUGUUGAUUUGUGGACCCUGCAAACACCAUGAAGUAGUUUUAUAAAAAAUAAAAAUGAGAAUGCUCUUCCUCGAAAGGUUGAUAAGAUAAGAAUUACGUUUGUCAAUGUUGUCAUCCUAUCUUGGGGCUUUUGCUUUGAUUUCUCCACCAAUGACCCUGGUUGAAGAGUGGUAAGAGCUUUUGGAUAAUGUUGCAAGGAAACCAGUGAACAAAGCUACAAAACAGUUGCAUUUAAGUAUAAAGUAAGAAAUUCAUUUGUCACAUAGAGAUCCUGAGAUAUAAUUGAGAACUGUAACUGCUAAUUAGUAAUGCGGCAAAGAAUAACCUCUAGAGGGAUAUAUGUUGGACGCUUGGGGUUUCCAACAAUAAUGCAGGGAAGAUCACCAGAGUAACACAGAGGAAUAUUUCUAAUGUUUACAAAAUAAUCAUAAACAGAUAAUUCAGUCAUUAGUGGUUCCCCAUUCUCAUCUUUUUCACCUCUCCGCUUCAUCGAAAACCUACAGGACAAUUAAAAGAAACAUAAAUCUUCGAGUUGAACCAAAAAAACAUUGGGCAAUGGAAAUACAAAAACUUAAACAGGCAAGGAAGUUGAUUUCUAAGAGCAUCCAGGCACAAAUACCACAAAUAGGUACAUUAAAAGUACUAGAAGCAUACAUAAGUUUUUUGCAGAUUUCAUCGCUGAGUCCUGUAAUCUUGUACGCAGUGUUAGUUGAACUGGUCUUCACCCUUAAACCUUUCAGCACUUGAUUGGCCUGCACAAUGGAGGGAAAACGAGAAUUUAGAAAUAAUAAGUUGAAGAAUUGGAUGAUGUAGUGAAGUUUAGUUUACCGUCGCCCAGUCAAGAGAAAAUGAAUCCUUGGCAUUCUGAUUGGCUAUCAGGAAAUCAACAACAGGUCCAGGCUUAAUAACCAUUAUGCUGUCUGAUAAGUCACAAAACAAAUCUAGUUAACAAUUUAUAUGUUGUAUCAGCUAUGCCGGCAUUAAUAUACAUUACUUGAAAAACAUAUAUUACAAUACAAACUUGAGCAAGCAUACCUAUAUUUAGUGACAAACCUCCCUGUGUGGUCCGAAAACUUGAAUUAAAUCCAUGAUAACCAAGGACGCCACCCCCCAAAUCAGAAAACUCAUUCACGUUAAAGCACAACUGGCGUUCAAAACGGCAUCCCCUGCAGUACUCAAUGUUAAAUAUCAAUCACAUGACAAACCCUAAAAAAGUCAGGAGCAAUAACAUACUGUUUAGCUGCAUGCUGUCUGACGAUGAUAUUUAGAACCCUUAUGGCCUCCUGAGAGUUCUUCGAGUCCUGACCACGUAAAGCUUGUGCAAUGGCCUGCAUAGGAAUCUUCGCAGCAAAGGAUAUCUCAACCUUGUAAGACUUAGAUUGAUUGUUCCUGCAUAUAAUAACAAUCCAGUGAACUCUAGCUUGUUUCUUAACCACAACAGUGAACUCUAGCAAUUAUUUAAGCAAAAACAUACCUAUUGGAUGAGUUAUCCUUAAGCACAACAGUGAACUCAAGCUUGUUUUUAGGAAGAGCUCCAACUGUAAACAGACUCUUUUCACCAUCAUAAGCGAAGUCUUUCCCUUCCACCUCAGCCUUGUAUGUGUCAUGAACACAAUCAAGCACUUGGGUUUUAAUACCUUUACCUUCAACUGGACGGCCAUCCUCAUAGAAAAAGGCAACCUGCAUAAUUAUUAUGCUUAGAUUCUGCCAAACGCAGCCAGGCAACAGCAAGGAAAAAAAAUACAAGGUAAAUAAUUAACUAGGAAGAAACUUACAGUAUACUGAAAAAAAUGUCCAUCGACAUUUUUAACAUUCACUUUAUAGUGAUUCGUAAGAAGUUGAAUCUUCUUGCCUUUUGAUGCUAGGCCACACCUAGCUAUAGGCUUCUUGGCUUCCAUCUUAACACAAAUAAACACAAACAUUACACAGUAAUGAAAUAAUCAGUUCAACACGAGUAAUAGAUUUUUAAAAAAAUAAAAAAUAUAACAUACACAGCUCUUUCAACUCUAAUUCACAUAAAAAUACCGCAAGCAAAAAAUCAGUUCAAGCAUCAAACUGUAGUUCAACACGAGUAAUAGAUGUAAUUAACGCGUCAAACUGUAAAAAAUAUUACAUACACAGCUCUUUCAACUCUAAUUCACAUAAAAAUACCGCAAGCAAACAAUCAGUUCAAGCAUCAAACUGUAAUUCAACACGAGUAAUAGAUGUAAUUAACGCAUCAAACUGUAAAAAAUAUAACAUGCACAGCUCUUUCAACUCUAAUUCACAUAAAAAUACCUCAAGCAAACAAUCAGUUCAAGCAUCAAACUGUAAUUCAACACGAGUAAUAGAUGUAAUUAACGCAACAAACUGUAAUUCAACACGAGUAAUAGAUGUAAUUAACGCAACAAACUGUAAUUCAACACGAGUAAUAUAUGUAAUUAACGCAUCAAACUGUAAUUCAACACGAGUAAUAGAUGUAAUCAACACUAAAAGAGCUUCGAGAAUACCUCCGAAGAAAUCGCAAAACCCUAAUUUGAGAGUGCUGUUAGCUUUAGAGAGAGAAAGUGAGAGUGGAAUGAAAUGAGAGAGAAAGUGAGAGUGGAAUGAAAUGAGAGAGAAUAUGAUUAUGGGGAGUGGAGUGUGGUAUAUAUAGACAGGAAGUGUGUAUGCAGAGGUAAGGUGUUUGGAAAGGGGAAUGCGGAUAUAUAGACACGAAGUGUGCGUGUGUGUGUCUCUGUGUGUGUAUAGGUGUACGUGCUUGGAGGAAAAGUUGGAAUUGUAAAGCGAAAUUGCCCAUGGAAUCGACGUGCUUCUGUCUCUGUGUGUUCGAGCUCUGAGAGUUUAGUGAGCAUUCAAUGCUUUGUUGUGCAGACAAUAUACAGAGUCAAUUGCAGUUUAGUGCCAUGAAAAAUAAUAAUUUUAUGGUUUGGUGACUGAUGUUCAAAACCUUGCAUCUUCAUUGUUCAAACCAAAAUUUUGUUUAAAAUCAAUAUUUAUUUCUACAAAUCUAUACAAUACUAUUAAAGCCGAAAUAUUAAAAGUUUGGCCGGUCGGUACGCGUGCUUUUAUACGGACUUUUAUAAUUAGCGGGUUUUGUUGAUAGAGGAAUUUGGUGAAUCAACAAACGUGAGGUUCAUUGCCGGAAUACGGUGUAGCGUGGUGGUGAUAUGACGGAAAACCGUCGUAGGAUGGUAGUGUUAGGUGUUUGAGGGUGGCUGAGAUCAAGGGAAUAUAUCUUCGCUCUCGUUCUCACAACUCUCGAUAUCUCCCUUGAUGUGCCUACGUACCCCUUUAUAUAGGGGAUCAAGCCGUACGUAGUUCUAUUGAACCAAGACUCCUAGUUUGAUCAAGACUAGGACUCUUGGGGAUAAGACCAACAUCAAGCCGGUGACUUAUCACUUAGAGUUCUACUCCAGUUAGAAUUAAGCCUCGAGACAACUACCGUAGACUCCUAGUCCAAGUACAUCACGGAUACGGCAUCAUCUCCACUACGAGAGAUGACACUAACCGCUACUCUUUCGUAGCAUGGAGGAGACGUCCGAUAGAGCCGUGACCAACUCCAUGAGGUGUAGUGACGCGUCCUCACCCCUUAGUGAAGGUUCUCACUAAAGGGCAAGACAAAUAAGGAGCCAAGUUACACGAUCGUCUCAGUCCCCCAAUGAGGGCUAACUCACUAGAAUACAGGACCCAGACAUAUGAUCGGCCUUCAUGAUACCCCUGAGGGCCUUCAACAAUCAUGAUCACCUCAAGCCCCCGCACGAGGACAACCCGGCAGAUAGCAGGAUUGAGGAUUAUAGAUCACGCCCGGACGUAACCUGGGAACUACCAGAUGAGCCUGAUAACUACCAGAUGAGCCCGGCACUAGUCUUCAUAUCCCUCGGAAGGGUUGGUCUUCGUAUCCCUCGGAAGGGUCGUCAUUGAGACUCACUCAUCCUCACACAUAACAAAUUUACCUGUGGGCGCGACCAUGGAGGGCGCCCUUCUCCUUCCUUAUCCUGUCUUAUCAUCUCUCUCCAGUAACAGAGACCAUACCUUCUUUCAGACAAAGGUCUCACCUUCCGGGCUGACCCCGUGAAGGGCGCGCCCUUCCUAACCUUCAUCACCUGUCUUCAGAGCUUCGAACAUGACACAGCCAUCCAUGACACUCCUGUCCCCGCCACUCAGGGUCGCGCCCCACGGGAUCGCCCCUUGGAGGGCGCCCCCUCCUUCAUAUUCUCAUGGCCAAAACUGGCCAUAACAAGUACUCCCCAGAUUUUAUAAGUAUUGAAAAUAUUUAUGAAAUCUUCCCGACACAAUCCUCCACCGGUUGUCACCUGCUUGCAUAUACAAGGGCGCGCCCUUAGUGAAAGGCGCGACCCCUCCCAUCCGCCAGACGAAUUUGAAACGAUUCAGCCGUUAGAGUGGGACAGCUGGCACAACAACCCUCACCACUAUAAAUAUCGCACCACUUCAUCUCUUUCACCCAUUUUCACUCACUUUCUCUCUCUCUUCGACAUUCCAGCGGCGACUAAGCUUUUCUCCGGCCAAUACAGCACUUUCCGGCUACCUUCUUGCGAUUUUUCUCCACCAAUCUCACUCUUCAACUCUCAAGGUACAUUUUCAUCACUUCUUUAUAAGAUUUCAUCGAGUAAACUGCUAGAUCUACUCUUAUGCCUCUUCAGUUACUCGUCCGUUCUUGCUCAUUUCUAUGUAUCUAUACUUGUAUGUAUAUGUCUUACUCGUGUUUGAUCCAUAUUUCUCCAUCAACGAUGAUACAUAUCUUGUUUGCUUAGUAUAACUUAAUUUAAUUGAGGGCGCAGCCUUGGGUGAGGGCGCGGCCUCCAAGUACGUUCAUCAACCGCACGUAGAAUUAAGUUGAACUCGUAGCUAUUUCCCUUUGCUCUUUCUUCAAUGCUCUGUAGAUAAACAACCCAGGGCGCGGCCUUCUUUUUUAUGGCAGCAUCCUCUAAUACUCCCCAGUUACCUACCUUUGAUCACGUGUUCACCUUUCUUCUUUUCUUUUGAUUUUCCUUUCUUAUUCAUUUCCAAGGGCGCGCCUUUUAUAGCUCUUUCUUUUUAUUUUCAGCUGGCAGACGAGGGCGCGUCUCCUCCUUUUCACCCCUUUAGAGCAUUCUUGGGUCGCUUUGGAGUUUCUGUUUCCCCUCCUGAAGUCUUCUCCCCUUCGCCUCCAAGGAGCCCUCAAAAGGUUCCUCAAGAGUUUCUAAAUAAAAUAAACAAGCAACUAGCGGAAGGGACUUUCUGUUCAGACAUGGAUUCUUCUUCCCCCCAACCUCAGGGUACUUCUCAAGCUCAACCAUCUAGUCAUUGGGCGCGCCCUGAUGAUUAUGACUCUGAGAUUGAGUCGUGGUUCGUGGAUGCCCCUACUGCGCCCCUUAAUGCUGACAAGGCCGCGCCAUCAUCAGCUAACCCCAGAACCGAGGCCGCGCCCUCCAAACCUGAUAAGGGGAAGAACAAGGUGAUUGAAACUUCAUCACCUUCUCCCUCCCAGUCCCCCUCAACUCUAGACAAUUCAUCUGAUGAGAGCGCGCCUGAGGUGAUUGUCUCCUCUCCUGAGAGUUCCCCAGAAAGAUAUGAGCAUCCAAAAAUCGAAGCCUGGGAGGAGGACAUAUGACGGGGUACUUGAGCUUGUUUAGACCAUAUGAUCAAAGAAUUCUUUGUGACAAUAUAUGCCUCGUCGUUUAUGUUCUCUCUUGCACUAGUCUGUCCUGUUAAUGCGUUUUCUGUUUUUACAGAUUCUGGUUCCUGUACCUCAAUAUCCCCUUUAUUCAGCUGCAAUUUCUUUGUUUGGCGGUUCUCUUGUUCCCUACUAUCUGGAGGAGACAGCCAACUGGGGACUCGACAUUCAGAACCUACGCCAGUCAGUUGCUGAAGCCCGCACUAGAGGAAUAACUGUAAGCAUUUUCCAACUAUUGCAUACUGGCAGAAAGUUGCUUUGAUGAAUGGAUGCGAAGAUUGUGCUAAAAACAGAAACUAAAGUAACUGACAUAACCCUUUCUGUACACAGCUCUUUCAACUCUAAUUCACAUAAAAAUACCGCAAGCAAACAAUCAGUUCAAGCAUCAAACUGUAAUUCAACACGAGUAAUAGAUGUAAUUAACGCAUCAAACUGUAAAAAAUAUAACAUGCACAGCUCUUUCAACUCUAAUUCACAUAAAAAUACCUCAAGCAAACAAUCAGUUCAAGCAUCAAACUGUAAUUCAACACGAGUAAUAGAUGUAAUUAACGCAACAAACUGUAAUUCAACACGAGUAAUAGAUGUAAUUAACGCAACAAACUGUAAUUCAACACGAGUAAUAUAUGUAAUUAACGCAUCAAACUGUAAUUCAACACGAGUAAUAGAUGUAAUCAACACUAAAAGAGCUUCGAGAAUACCUCCGAAGAAAUCGCAAAACCCUAAUUUGAGAGUGCUGUUAGCUUUAGAGAGAGAAAGUGAGAGUGGAAUGAAAUGAGAGAGAAAGUGAGAGUGGAAUGAAAUGAGAGAGAAUAUGAUUAUGGGGAGUGGAGUGUGGUAUAUAUAGACAGGAAGUGUGUAUGCAGAGGUAAGGUGUUUGGAAAGGGGAAUGCGGAUAUAUAGACACGAAGUGUGCGUGUGUGUGUCUCUGUGUGUGUAUAGGUGUACGUGCUUGGAGGAAAAGUUGGAAUUGUAAAGCGAAAUUGCCCAUGGAAUCGACGUGCUUCUGUCUCUGUGUGUUCGAGCUCUGAGAGUUUAGUGAGCAUUCAAUGCUUUGUUGUGCAGACAAUAUACAGAGUCAAUUGCAGUUUAGUGCCAUGAAAAAUAAUAAUUUUAUGGUUUGGUGACUGAUGUUCAAAACCUUGCAUCUUCAUUGUUCAAACCAAAAUUUUGUUUAAAA